This 88528-nucleotide long non-coding RNA is filed under the name Capsicum annuum. RNAcentral's name for it is "long non-coding RNA (CANN_LNC019359)". Lineage: Eukaryota; Viridiplantae; Streptophyta; Magnoliopsida; Solanales; Solanaceae. The record is from RNAcentral.
AAAAAUGAACUUGAUUUAAGUAGGCUUUCUUGAUAACCUGCUAUUGUUUUGCAUAGGGGCUACUAUGUAUAUGAAACUAUUAUAUCAGUGUUUUUAUAAUUUCUCUAUAUGCUUUGAUUUGAAGAUGAAUAAGGAUAAAAGCAUUGUUUUCUUUGGUGGAGUACCUACUGACACCCAAGAGGAACUACUAGAGCUAUUAGAGUUUUUAUAAGGGGGAGAUUUUUGUUAGAUAUUCAAGAAUUCCUUUAAGCACAAAAUGUUUUUAAUCUUAUGAUGUCAUCCAUUGAUAGAAAAAUAAUUAGUAAAAUCCAAUCAUUGACUUCCUACAUUUUUAUCUUACCUAGGCAAGUUACAACUUAUAAUGAGCAUUUUGUUCUCGUACCAGACCUUUUGUUCACAAAUAUUUUAUACCAUCCCAAAAGGUGCUCGAUUUGAUGGAAGUUGCGUGUAUAUCUUUUUAUGAAUAAGAGGAUCCGACCAAUCAAAAAAGUCAUUACUUGCCUGGGACAACGUGUGCUACCCUAAGACAGUGGGGGGCUUUAAUGUUAUUGUCAUAAUGAAGUAGAAUAAGAAAAUCAUUUUUAAGCAUUAUUAAAACCUUUGUAAGAAGUAAAAUAAGUCGUAGAUAUAGUAGGUUCACAUCUACUAUAUCAAGGGAAAAAUCAAUGACAAAGGUUGGUCUAAGGCAGGUUGCAUGGAUCAUUGAAGAGAUAACUAAAGCACGUGAGAUAGUGGAGUUGAGUCAUGAUCAUGAUGUUUUUGUACAACUUAGAGAGUUUCAAAUUAAGACUAUAUAUAGUGAUUUGAGGGAAAACUUGCCAAAGGUCAACUGAAAAAGAAUGGUGUGUAAUAACACUGAUUGUCCCAAAUGGAUAUUCACUUGACAAUGGCGGUUCUUGGGAAAUUAUACACAAGAGAUAACUAGCAAACUGAUAGAUCACUAAUAACACUGUCUAUCCACUUCGUGAUGAUAAAGAGGAAACAAAUGAAUACCUAUAAUUUCACUAUAGAUAUGCAACAUGGGGGAGGCAACUAAAAUGGUUGCAGAUUUAGACGAUUCCCUUGAGGUGGUCCUGGGAGCUAGAUUGAGAUAUAAAACAUACAAAAAAGACUCAAGUUUAUAAGUUGAUGCUCUCAUUUUGUUCUUACUAUGUCUAGCAAUAAAGAAAUUGUAGUCUUCCAAGGGAAAGCUCAGAGUAGUGAAGAGUUAUAUAAAGUCAUUGUAAGAAAGGUGCACUGUAGAGGAAAUACUCAGAUUAAGGGGAACGGCCACCUCCAGGAAUAAAAAUGAGAAGAAAAAAUAAAAAUAAAGUUCGAGAAAUAUGAAAGAAAAAGAAAAAAUGAGAAAUAAUAAAAACAAAAAAUAAAAGAAAAAUAAAGGUUGAGACAAAUAAAUUAAAAAAGAAAUAAAAAAUAAAAGAAAAAUAAAGGUUGAUACAAUGAUUUAAAACAAGAAAGAAAGAAAGAGAAAAGAAAAAAAUAAAAAUUAAGGAAAAAUUCAAAAGAGAAAAAAAAAAAUAGAAACUGAGACAUAAAUAAUCAUUGAAAGCAUAAAACAUUUAAGUGUAAGGGACAAAAGUGCAUUUGUUCUAUACAUAAAAUGGAAAAGGACUAGUCUUUAAACACGUUUCUUCUAGGGGAUGUUUCAAAAAUAGCAAGAGUUUGGCACAAAAUCCACCUUUCAUAACCACACUUUACAAUAUUACCAUUUAUAACUGAUGUAUUUGAUUCACGUCCAUUGUAUUUGCUUUUACUUAAUAAUUUGUAUUCAUAUAAAACAUAAAUACAUUAAUUACAUUUUAUAUUUUUUUUUAUUUUCGAAAAACAUAACUACAUCGAAUACAAGUCAUGAAUGAUGAUGGAAACAUCAUAACCGCGCAUUGUAUUUGUAUUUAUCAUCAUUUUUUUAUUCUUUUCUCUUUUAUAAUUUCUUUUUACUUUUUGAUUUUUUUUUCUAUUUUUUUUUCUUUUUUCUUUUUCGAUUCUUUCUUUAGCUUUUUGUAUUUUUUUCCUUUUUCCUUUUUUCUUUUUUCUUUCUUUUCUUUUAUAUUUUUGCUUUUUCUUUUUUUUCAUUCUUUUUCUUUUUUUUUCUAUCUCUAUUUUCUAUUUUUCUUUCUUUUUUUUGUGUGUUCUUUUUUAUUUUCUUUUUUAUACCUUUUUUUUUCUAUCUCAUAUUUUUUGUAUUUUCAAAAAAUAUGGCUAUUUGAGUACAAGUCAAUAAUAAUAAUAAUAAAAAUACCAUGAUUAUUUAUCAUAUUUGUAUUCACAUCAUCAUUUAUAUUUUUGUAUUCGUUGAUACAAUUAAAUAUAGUUCGUGCUUGUUUUUGUAUAUAUAUUAUAGUUCGCAUUUGUAUUUUAUAGUUCGCACUUGUAUUUGUAUUUAUAGUUCGCACUUGUAUUUGUAUGUUAUAGUUAGCAUUUGUAUUUGUAUUUUAUAUUUCGCACUUCUAUUUGUGUUUCCUAAUGCGCACCGUUAUUUAUAUUUUAUACAAUUCACCUUUGUAUUUUAAACAAUUAUUGUGUAUUUUUAUUGUAUAAUUGGUUGAACAUUGUAUUUAUAUUUUGUGGUUUCAUUUUAUUUAUAUUUGUGUAUUAUUUUUAUUGAUGCACUUGUAUUUUUAAAGAACGAUUUUGUAUUUAUAUUUGUAAGUUAGCCACAUAUUGUAUUUUUAUUCAUACCAUCAUUAAUAUUCUUGUAUUCGUUGAUAUAAUUUUAUCUAUAUUUAUAUUUUAAAGUUCACGCUUGUAUUGGUAUUUUGUAGUUCACAUUUAUAUUUGUAUUUUACAGUUCGCACUUGUAUUUGUAUUCGUUAGUUCGCACUAUCAUUUAUAUUUUAUAUAAUUCGCACUUGUAUUUUAAAGAAUUAUUUUGUAUUUGUAUUUGUAUUUUAUAAUUGACUGCAUAUUGUAUUUGUAUUUUGUGAUUUUAUUAUUUUUGUAUUUAUAUUUGUAUUCUAUUUUCGUUGGUGUAUUUGUACUUUUACAGAAUUAUUUUAUAUUUGUAUUUGUAAGUUGAUCGUAUAUUGUAUUUGUAUUUAUAAUUUCAUUUGUUUGUAUUUGAAUUUGUAGUUGACAACAUCAUUUAUAUCUUUAAACAAUAGAAAAAAAUUGUUAUUUUUCUUUCUAUGAAGACUUGUAUUUACAUUUAUUGAUACAAUUUCCAUCAUAAUAAAAAUAAAAAUAAUAAAUUAUACAAAGACAAAUGUUACAUUUGUAUCAAUGACACAUGUUUAUACAACUUGAACCAUACGCAUACUUAUUUAUAUACAAAUAUAAAUGAUAAAUUUGAAAUAUGAAACACAAUGAUAUAUUUGCAUUGAAAGACAAAUUGCAUAUUUAUAUAUUUUAGUCUCAAGCAAAUACCAUUAAUCAAUAUACUUAUUUAUAUACAAAUAUGAAUGAUAAAUUAUACAUAUUCACAACUAAACUAUUCAACUACAAAUAAUAAAUUUAUUUAAAAUAUAUAGUAUGAUACAAAUAAAUAUAAAAUAUAAAAUACAACAACAAACGAAAAAAAAUAAAAAGAAAUAAAAAAAGGAGAAAAAUGACCAAAAAAAUAAAAAAGAACAAAAAACGAAUCAAAGAAAAUACAAAAAAAAAGACUGCAAAAAAAAGAAAUAAAGAAAAAGAUGAAAAAAUAGAAAGAAAUAUUAAAAAAAAAAGAGAAAAAAGAAAAAGAAAAUACGAUUUAGGCUACAAAUAUGGUUGUACUAGCGUGUAAGGCUACAAACCGCAAUUAAUGUAAACUAUAGCAAGUGUUUAGGCUACAAUAGGUAAUUAUGGUAAAGUAUAGUUGUAAGUGGUAAUUACAGCCCACUAGGGACUAUUAGUGGUAGUUUUCCCUUUCUUUUAUGAGGAACAAAAAUACAAAGCUACCCACUAUGGGGGUAUCCAAUGUAAUUUGCUAGCUAGAAAGACAUUUCUCCCUUUUAUUUUGAUGAAUGAAAUGUUUGAAUAAAUCACGUCAUAUCUUAUUUUUUAUAUCUUUUUUUUAUUUCCUACCAAAUAUCUGAUACCCAUAUUAGAGGUCGACCAAUUAAAUUUCGCACCAUAUAGGAUAUAUUCAAAGAAAGCACUACUUACCAAUUAUUUUUUCAGCAUGACUCAAAUUCGAGAUCUCUGAUUAAGGGAGAUACAAUCUCAUCCGCUAUGCUAUAUUCUUUGGUGGUAUGCUAUAUUCAAUUUUUAUAGUCACGGUAUUCGAAUCAGCUUGCACGCAUCUUAAUUAAUUCUAUGAAAUAUCACCUCCCACUAACAAUAGAUAUCAGGUAACUUUGUAUAUUCGAUCAUUACAUAAUAUUAUGUCAUCAAUUUAAAAAAUAAAUCUAUAAAAAAGAUAUUUUCUAAUUAUAUAAGAAGGAGUUGGGCGGCUAAUGCAAGUUGCUCACCGUCGACAUGCCUGCUUCAGUUGCUUGUUUCGUGAUUUUACUAUAUCACCCCUAAUUAAUUAUUAUAAAUUAUUUAUAUAUUAAAAAAAUUAAUAAUAUUUAAUAAAAAAAAUAAAAUAGACAUUUAUGAGAUGUCUACUUCAGUUGUUUCAAUCAUAAUUUUACUAAAUAUCACCCUAAUUAAUUAUUAUAAUCUAUCUAAAUAUUUAAAAAAUAAUAGUUAAUAUAAAAAGGUAAAAUAGAUAUAAAAUGAUAAGUUAAUUCUUGAUGUUUUAAAUUAACUUCAAGUCUUAAAUGAGGCCCACUUAAAUUCUUUUUCACAAAUACUUUUUAUAGUAAUUUUACUAUAUCACUUCUAGAUAUUUGUUGUGAAUCUUUUAAGACAUGUCUGCUUCGCUGCUUCAAUCGUGAUUUUACUAUAUCACCUCUAAUUAAUUAUUAUGAUCAUCUAAGCAGGGGUUUUGGAUUGUUGGUGACAAAAGAGUUUUAAAAUGAGGUGUAGGUGACACAAGUUUUAAUAAUUGAGUGGAUGUGACAAUUACUUUAUUAUGGAUUAAGAAAGUUAGGUAAGUUUGAGAAUAGCCCAGAAGUUUUUAAAUUUAUACUUUGAUCCAAAUGUUUACCUAAUAUAACAGGAAAUGGAGAAAAAAAAAGCACCUUUCUCUAUCUUAUCAUCCAUUGUUGUUUUCUCUCUCUUAGCAAUUUUUGUUAUUUAUUGUUGCUGCUACUCUAUUCAUCAUCUUCUGCUUCAUUAUCAUCAUCUUCUACUUCAUUAUCAUCUUCAUCUUUUUCUUGUUGACCAUUGUUGUUAUUUGACCAAUUUCUUAGGUCAAAUUUUAUUUCGUACAUCACUUUCCACUUUGACAUUACUUCAUAGGAGACUUUGGUAAGUCAAAUUAUGAUUUUUAGUUGAAUUUGUCAUCUGGUAACUGCUAUUAUGUUGAUUUUUCAAUAAUAGAUAGCACGCGAACAUGAAUGCAAUAUAAGAGCCAUCUGUUGCGACAGAUGAGAUAUCUGUUUCAACGGAAGACUCAUAUGUUGGAAUCAUAUUUAUGUUCUAUAGCGCCAUAACAUGAAUCGAAUAGAUAGGUGAUCUGUUGCAACAUAUGACCCAUGUGUUACAUCAGAUGAGUUAUCUGGUGCAACAUAAUAAAUAUUUGUUGCAAUAUAUUAGUAACCUAUUGCAAUAGAACCUGAAUUCAAUUCCGACAGACGUGUGUCUGUUGCAACAAGGUAAAUAUCUAUUGUAACAGAUUAGUAACUUGUUGCAACAGAACCUGAACUCGAUUCCAAUAAAUGGUAAAUAUAUGUUGCAAUAUAUUAGUAACCUGUUGAGAUAGAACCUGACCUCGAUUCCAACAGAUCAUCGUCUAUUACAAUAGAUAAGUCAUCUAUCACAACAAGUUAAUUAUUUGUUGCAACGUGUUACUCAUCUAUUGGAAUCGACUUCAAAGGUGACUUAGUACUGUAACAUCUAUCCCAAUAAAUAUUUCAUCUGUUACAACAGAUAUAUAGUCUGUUGUAAUAUAUGAUUUACCUGUUACAAUAGAUGACUCAUCUGUUGAAAUCAACUUCAGAAGCAUAAUAUGAAUCCCAAUAUGUAAGUAAUCUAUUGCGGGUGAUCAGUUACCCAUUGCAAUAGAUUACACAUCUGUUGGGAUUCAUUUAUGGCACUAUGAAAUCACUAUUAACUUUUUUUAACAAAUGACUCUAUUUAGGUACCACUAAUGGAGGGAUCAAUAACAAUAAGGGUGGAUUGUCAUAGUUAAUAGAUCGAGAAGAGCAAUCGAUAUGUAUGGCAUUGGAAGGAAGGUGAAAUACUAGAGAUGAUAGCUAUGACAGUCCAAAACGAUAUUUCGUAUAAUAAUUUUUUGAACUUAAUCAUCAGCUAUUGUGGACUGAAUUAUCAAUUGAAAGAACUUGUCAUCAGCUACAUGCACAACUCCUUUGAAAAUCAGAGGGUACUACCUUUCAAGAUAACCGAUUAGGUUCGGUUACGUGCUUAUCUUAGUAAUUCAUCUAGGUCAGUGUUAAGGGUGUACGUGGUUAAAAAUAUGAGAGAGAAUAAGAACCGGAACGUAAAAGAAGAACAAGAAUAAGAUAUAUUUGAUGAUAGAUUGGAUGAUCUAGACAUGAAUAUUCCAGAUGAUGAUCAAACACCUACGCCCAUUGAUGCAACCAAUACGGUGGGCGGUUCUUCUCGAUCGACACAGUCUGGCAAUCUUCAAGACGAUGGACCAACUUUUUCAAUGGAAUGUCAUUCACGGACAAGAAUGAACUAUCUACCACUUUGUUUAUUUCUUGCUUGAAAAAAAAUUUCAGAAUAAAGAAGGUGAUUAAUUCGAGCAGUGUCUUUUGCUACAAAUGUGCUAAUCCAAAUACAAGUGGUUGUUGAGAGCGGUAAAGUACGUAAGUUCUGAUAGAUUUGUCAUUCAUAAAUAUAAAAAGCAUCACACAUGUGGUUCGGAGAACAUCUCGGGCCAAAAUCCUCAUGCCACGGCAAAGGUCCUUGGUGAAUAUUUCAAGAAUUAUUUCCCCGAUGGAAAAGGGCCCUUCUACAAGGGUUAUGGCCAAUCAACUCCUUACAGAAUUGGUUGUCCUGGUUAGUUAUUGGAAGAUAUAUACGGCCAUGGGGAUUGCUAAGGACUUGUUUAGGGGGACACACAAGUAUGGGUAUGCAGUCCUGGAUGCCUACCGUUACAUGAUUAAGUCCAUAAAUCCCAAAAGUAACAACAACAAUAAACCCAGUGUAUUCCCACCAAGUAGGGUAUGGGGGGUAGAAUGUACGCAGUCUAUACCGCUACCUCCAAAGAAGUAGAGUGGCUAUUUUUGAUAGACCACUGGCUCAAGAUACAGAAUAGUUAACAAGGUCAUGGUAAUACAUGAAGCAGGAUGGGUGGCAUAACCGAAAAUAAAAAAUAAGAAAUAAUAGUAAUAGAAAUAAGAGAGACAUGAAAAUAAGCACAAUACGAAAAUAAGAAAAAGGAAAUAAGAAAUAAGAAAAGGAUACCCACCUAGUAGUAGAAUACACUAGCAGCUCCUACCAAAGGACACAUUCCUAGGGUUACUAAACCGGCUACACAAGAGCUCCCUAACUACUAGUCACAACCCACACACGCACUAGCCUUCUACCCUUAUUCGCGACCUCAACACCUUCCUAUCUAGGGUCAUGUCUUCUGUAAGUUGUAGCAUCUUUAAGUACUUUUCUGUAUCCUAUGGUGCUUAGAUUCAAGGUUUUUGACAUUUGAGAAAAGGCAUAGCCAUCGACGGUACCUUUUUGAGAAGCAGAUAUAAUGGAGUGCUACUAGCGGCGGUGGCGCAGGAUAUGGAGAAUCAUAUUUUUCCUGUCGUUUUUUGUGUAGCAGACAGAGAAUGUGAUGCCUCUUAUGGAUUUUUUCGAACAAUUGCAAAGAUGCAUCGAAGAUACCAAAGAGUUGUGUUUUAUUUUGGAUAGACAUCCAAGUAUUUCAAAUAUGGGUUCAAUUUUUUUUACUUCAACUUACUUUGGUUGUUGCAUCGGGCAUCUUAGAGAGAACAUUCAGAUCAACUAUCACAACGAAAGGGUCGUGUCCCUUUUUUAUAGAGCAGCUAAAGCAUAUAGUAGAGAGGAGUUUUCAUACCAUAUCAAUCAAAUAAUGGAUGUGAAUCUCAAGGUAGUAGAACUUCUCAUACGUGUCAAUUUCGAGAGAUAGAGCCGGGUAUUCUGUCCGGCAGAUUGGUACAUUCUUAUGAAUUUAAUGUCUUGUUUGAGUUAUAUGUUUAGUAUGAUGUUGUACUAAGUGAUUCUUUUGUAUCGGUACAAUAUUAUGACAUUAAACAUAGCUAAAUCGGUGAAUUCAUUGUUUGACAAUGAAAGAGAAUUUCUCAUCAAGGCUCUGUUUGAAAUAAUAAAUACGAAGUAUGGCCAAUUUUUUAACGAAAGACGUGUGUAGUUAAAGGGACCAAGAAGAACCCCAUUUGUUCUAGAAAUCAAAAAAAUAUUAUCAAUGAACAUCAGUUUAGGGAUAGGUUACUAUCUCAUAAAAUAGCAGAUUACAAAUUCAGUAUCACCGGUCAUGGUGAUGUUGCCACGGUCGAUCUUCAAACAAGAUCUUGUAUGUGCAGAGUUUUUGACUUGGACAAAAUACCCUGUCCACAUGCUAUGAUAUAGCUUUGAGCUCAAUACGGUCCAAAAUAUGUACCUAAAGUUUACGAGCACUCUUCUCAAUAUUAUUGGGUGGAAAAAUAUGAAAUGGGAUAUAGUGGGCAUAUUACUCUGGUGCCUCCCGAAGAAUCUUGGGUUAUUCCUGCAGAGCUUUUGGGGAGAUUAAUACCUACUUCAUAUAUUGACCCAAGCACUAUCAAACCAGGAAGAAAUCCAUAUAAGAGGAUACGUGGAGUCAGAGAAUUAUUUUCAUCAAGAAGAAACAAGUGCUCUGUGUGUAAGCGCGCGCCCAGAUCGUAAUCCACCAUGAUCAUUAUAAUUGCAAAAACUUGUGUUGUUGUUUGUUGUGGAUUUUUAUAUAUUUAAAUCAUUGUUGUGAACAUAAUGUUAUCAUUAAUUAUUUAUAAAAUAUCUUUUUGAAUAACUUCUACAUCAAUAAAAAAAGGCAAAACAUGAAAUAAAUAAUACAGCAAACCACAAUUAUUUUCAACAAAUUACACAUCUGUGGCAACAAAUGGACAUUAGCUGGAAGAACACAACACAGUUCCAUCAAAAUGGAACAUUUUCGUCCAACAGAUGACAAAUCUAUUGCAACAGAUGGAUAAUCUAUUGACAGAAACCCAACCAAUGAUCAAUCUAUUCCAACACAUGGUCCAUCUGUUGAAAGAACUCAAAAGCCGAAAUUACUAUUGCUACUGGAUUCAAAAUUGCUCCUUGCCUCCAACCAUCGACAUAUUAACAUGUAUGUAUGUUUAGAAGAAAUAAACAGAAUGAAAAUUGAAUAAGAAUUAAAAAGCCAAAGUUGACUAAAAAUAAAUUUUUUAUUAAAUGAAAAUAAAAUACAUUAGGUAUAUAUACGAUGUAUAAAAAUUAAAAUACAUACGCUAAAAGAAAAACACAUUCUAAUUAUUAUUAUUAUCAUCAUCAUCAUCAUUAAUGACAGCCAGUCAAUCAAGUCGCAACAACAGGGCCCUCAUCAGCCUCUGUAUCUCUCUGAACAUCGUCGCUCUCACGGCGACCAACUCUUUUGCAGGUCAUUAACCUGCCUCUGAAGUUCCUGCACAGUGUCGCGCAGAAUAGCAAUGUACCAAACAUAAUCAUCCAUAUGUAGAACACGCAUGAAUUGACAAAUGUAAAGAAAAGAGUCCAAAUGUAAUACAACGUAGUACUACCAACUGGUAGAUUUACACCGAAAAAAACUUACCUCAACAAGAAAGGAAUAUGCUCUUUGAAUAGAAGUGGCUGAAGAUGUCACACGAAAAGAAAAAAUGCAAAAAUAAAUAAAUUUGAGUAGAAUAAAGAUUAAGUAGGGAUCUAUUUAUAGAGGAUUGAAUCUGGAUGCGUCGGACAAAAAGGCACGAUUGUUCAGCUCCAUUGUAUUAAUUAUAUUCAAACUGGUGGCAUUUUAUUUUUUGUGAAAAGUCACAACUUUUUCUUUACAUUAAUACUUCUAACCUUUUAAAAAUGGUUUGAGACUUGAUAACAGCUGUUAUUAUUGAGUUAUUGCAACAGAUCUUCCAUCUGUCACAAUAGAUUUACCAUCUAUUUCAACAGAUGGUCUGUAUAUGUAACAAAUGAUCUAUCAAAACAGAUUUACCAUCUAUUACAACAGAUAGUUUAUAUGUGCAACAGAGACAUCUGUUGCAACAUAUGUAUUAUCUAUUGCGACAGAUGGACCAUCUAUUGGAGGAUAUGUUUUGAUUUCUUCUGAUAACUGAUUUAAAAGUUGCAACAGAUGGAGAAUUCAAUUUAUCAGCUGUUUUAAAUGUGUUAGAUAAAAAGUCACGACUUUUCACCUCUUUUUCAAUAGUCAUCACAUGCGUGUAGAUAAAUAAACACUAUUUGGUCUGUCGCAACAGAUUUACCAUCUAUUGCAAUAUCUGUUACAACAUAUGUAUUAUCUGUUACGACAAAUGGACCAUCUGUUGGAUGAGAUAUUUUGAUUUCUUCUAACAGCUGAUUCAUCAGUUGCAACAGAUGGAGAAUUCUAUAUGUCAGUUUUUUUUAAUGUGUUAGGUAAAAAGUCAUGAUUCUUCACCUCUUUUUUAAUAGUCAUCACAUACGUGUAGAUGGAUAAAAACUAGUGUCUGACAUGUCUUGAUGGGGUAAGAAGAAUAAGGUGCGUGCAGAUGAAUGGAUCCACUUUCAUGCGCAGGAGUUAUGUAUUAUUAUCAGGCUACCAUGAUAGACCCACAUAAAGUACAAUGAUUUUAUGAAUGCGGUUUUUUACCAAUUAGACAUUGAUCCUUCAAAUAAGAUCUUAUAUUGUACAAUUUAGUUUGAUAGGUGUGAACUGAUAAGGUCGAAGGGUUCCAAGACGAUGGUGUCGUUAUCCUGUUACAAUUUAAUGACGGUUUAUGCUCAUAUUUUUGUGUUAAUUUUAGGAAAAGGUUUAAGUUUUUGGCUGCAAUGUAAAUAUGUAAUAGUGAUUGGACUGAUUUUAAUGGUGCAAUGAACUUCUUGAAAGGCCUCCACAGCCUCGCACUGCAGCAAAUAAUGAUGGGACCGACAAAAAUUCUCCUGGUCUAAAUUUAUACGAAUAGGUUGCUCGAGGAGACUAUUAUACAAUAGAGGUGCUUGGGAGAAUACCUGUACAGGAAGGGGGAGGUGGGGAAGAUCAUAUAUCAUCUCAGACCUUGUUUAAGAGAAAACACAAGAAAGCAAGUAAGGAACUUCUAGCGAAUCUGGCUAAUGAAAUUGACAUAAGAAAUAAAAAAAAACUGAAUGAGCUUCAAAUGUGGAAGUGUAUCCAAAUAUAAAAAUCCAUCAGUCGUUGAAGAAAAAAAAGAAUGGUCAAGACGACUGAAGUUGGUCACUUUGCUAGAGACUGCAACUAGUGAGAGUAGCCUCAAUGAAGACUCACAAAGUGCAAGACCAGAACUUUAAGGAAGAAGCUUCGUGAGCAUAGGAGGUUGGUAACAUUUUCAGUCAAGAAUGAAACAUGAACUAAUAAAUGCAGAAGUAAAAAUAAGGGAAGCCAAUGUGUUAAUUUCUGAAGUCUAACUUGCAUACCAUGCCUUCUGUUUGUGUCUAUGAUCAGGUCAAUGGCAGUAGAAGUAAAAAGGUCUGAAGUUGGGCAAAAAUCCCAUGCCUUGUUGUUUCCACUGGCUUUGACCUGACCAGAGCCAUAAACAGGAGGCAUAGGAUGCAAGUUUAACUUGAGAAAUUGCCAUCUUGGAUUAAUCCCUUAUUUUUAAUUCAGGAGUAGUUGGUUCAGGUUUUAAUUCUGACCACAAUCUUUCCACCUUCUGUGCUCGCAAAGCUGCUUCCUUAGAGUUCUGGUCCUACAUUAUAUGGGUCUUCAUUCAGGCCACGCUAGCUAGUUGCAGCCCCCUAACAAAGUGUACAGCUCCACUCUACUUGAGCAUUUUUCUUUUUCAAGAACGAAUGAUGGAUUUUCAUUUUUUGGAUACACUUUCACAUUCGACGCUCAUUCAAUUUUUUCAUUUUUCAUGUCAAUUUCAUCAGCCAGUUUCGCUAUAUUUCUCUUCCUACCCUGUGUUUCUUCUUUAUUAUGGUCUGAUUUGAUAUAUGGUCUUCUCCACCUCCUCCUUCCCGUACAAGUAUUCUUACAAUAACCUUCUUCUAUAUAAUAGUCUCUUCGAUUAACCCAUCCAUAUAAAUUUAUACCAGAGCAAUAACUAUAUUUAUUUCAAUUCUUGUUUGCAACAGUACGAGGCUUCGGAGGCCUUUCAAAAGUCCAUUGAACCAUUAAAGUCAGUGCAAUCGCUAUUUGAAUAUUUACACUGCCACCAAAAACCUUAACCCUUCUCCAAACUUGACACAUAAACAUUAGCAAAAUCUUAAUUAAACCAUAACAGGGUAUCAACACCACCUACUUGGUCCCUCAGCCUUACCAGUCGAACUUAACAAUCUUAACCGUAAAAUGUCAUAUCUUGUUUGAAGAAUUAACACCUAAUAGGUAAAGAACCAACAUUCACAAAAUCAUUGUACUGGAUGUGUGUUUUCACGAUAGGUUGAUUAGUAAUACAUACCUCCCACAUAUGAAGUAGUUCCAUCUGCAAGCAGUUAUACCUCUAAACCCAUUUUUACUCUAGCCUUUAAUACUGGUCAGGCAAAAUUUGAUCCAGUUUCACUUCCUUUUAUCUGUAAACAAGAGAAAUACAUUUGAUGUCAAACAAGAGAAUAACAAAAAGAACAUUACAAAAGGGUAACAUAAAAUUGAAUAAAUUAACAGAUGACCAAUCUGAUGCAACAGAUUCCCUAUCUAUUCAACUGAUGAGGCAUCUGUUGCAACAGAUGGAUGACAUGUUGCAACAGAUGGGUCAUCUAUUGGAAUAAAUUAAACCAACCUUGCUACUAGUUUGAUUUCUUCAAACAGUUGCUCAGUCUAUUUCAACAGUUGAUUCAUCGGUUACAACAGUUGAUGAAACUGUUGCAACACCACCAACAACAGCAUCAACAAUAAAGAAAUAGCACUAUAUGUUCCAACACCAUCAAUAACACAAACACCAUAUAUUCCAACACCACCACCACCUCCAACAACAGCACCACUAAAGUAAAAAACAAAAUACAUAUAAAACUAUACUGACAACAAGGUUUUUUAAGUUUUCAAAAUAGAUGACUUUUUUCAUAUUUUAAUAAAACUAAUGGUUCAUUCAUUCAAGACUAAAAAGUCACCUUUCCUUCAAUCUUCUCAAUAAAUAGGAAAAUGGUAAUGGGUAAAUCAUUAAUAGCAAUAAAUGUAAAUAUCUAAUUUAAAUAACAUACAAAGAAGAAGACGGGAAGGAAAGGGCAAUAGUGAACCAUACCUACAAUGUCAAAAAAGCAAAGGGAUCAGAACAUCCAGUUCAGUCGAGAAAAGAUAUUGAUAGGUUAGGUGUAAUGACCCGAGACUACCCCCAAGUCGGCACAUGGUGCUUGUGACCCCAAAAGACCACAAGCUAACCUAUGAAUGAUAUCUGUUGUGAGCACUGAACAAUAAUACUGAAAUAAAUACGGAAUAAUGGGCUGAAAUGCCAUAAGGUUCAAAACAUCUAAAAUACUAAUAAAAUAUAACACCUGUAAAACUAAAUACUGUAUAAAAAUUAAGUCUGAAAAGCCUCUAACUGGAUCUUUCUGAAAGUGGAGUUGAUGGGACAAUCCCCCAACUAACUCCAUUUACUAAAAUACUGCUAAGCUAAAGUACUAAGAUAAAAAAAUAUCCUUGAUAGAUUAGGACUCAUAGCUAAAUCUAUUACUGCUGACUGAAUCUGGCUAAGCGUGGUCAAUAACUUAAGCAUCUGAACCUAAGAUAUGAAAUAUCAUAGCACAAGAAACGGGUAUGUGGUCAGUACGUGGGAAUGUACUGGUAUGCUAAAUGAGGUAAGGCUAAAUACAUGGGUUCAUAUGCAUAAACCAUAACUAACUGAAUAAUAUGCAAGAGCUGGAUUAGCAUACAUAGAGAAACUGUAACUACUGAACAUACUGUGCCUACUGUGAUUGAGUAUACUGGAACUGAAUUAGAUAACUGAUAACUGAAUAUACUAAUAAUCUAAAUUACUAUUAACUGAGUGAUUAUAUCUAACAGCCCUGAUUCUAUAGAAUUAAACUAAGUUCUAUUUUGAAGACUGAGAUCGAAACUAAAACUAUGGGAGGUAAUUAUCUAACAGACAUACCCCAAAUAAGAUAAGAUAAUUGAGAUGGGGUCCAAUCUGUAACCCCAAUUGGAAGGGUGUUAGUACCAUGCCACGGGUAAAGACAAGCUGAAGAGUAACCCUCAACUGGUAGAUUCCCUAAACGAGAACUGUGUUACCUUCUACUGGCAGGUAGAUCACCUCAUCAACCCUCAACUGGCAGGUGUGAUGUCUCCACCUACGCUGGCUACAUAGUUCUAGAAUACAAGAAUUGCUUCUAAGGAUCACACCCUCUGCUGGCAGGUGAGCCCCCAUCCUUGGGUUCACUCGGUGAUGAAUCCUACUCCUAACUGAAAGACACUGAACUAUUAUACUGGACUAAACUGGACUAAAUUUAUUGAGAUUACAGAGUUUUCCUAAGUUUUGUAACUGACUGAGUUCUACUAAGUUUUGUAACAGACUGAGAGUACUACUGAUCAUGACAUGACUGAUACUAUUCUGUAACUGACACUGGCUCUAAAUAAAUAGCUAAGUUAUCGGGUAUUAAAUACCCCCAGGACUCGAUAGCAUGGAAAGUAAAGUAAAGCAUAAUCUUGAAUAACAUAACAAUGUUCACUUGGUCAUAAUUCAUUCAUAGAGACAUUCCAUCAAACACGUGUAAUGCAUUAACUUGUACAUGAAUGGGGAAUACAUGUUAUCAUACUAUAAUGGCGUCAUUUUAUUCUCAUAGACAAUUUAUCAAACACAUAAGAAGCAUUCUUGGUUUAUUAAAUCAUAAAUACUUAGGGUUAACAUGGUUACAACAAUCAACUAACAAAUUGAAAGUUUUAUCAUGAAUACCAUGUAAUUCAACACAUACUAGAAUCAAUUCUUGAAACUUGUAAUCUAAAUUAUGGAUACAACAUCAUGAACAUAAAUUCAAUCUAAUUCAAACAUGGAAAUCAUAAAUCACAAAUCUUGUAUUUUGAAAAAGGAUUCUUGGGCUCUAUGGAAGGUAAGGAUCCAUUGAUAAACAUCUAAAAUACCUUGAUUGAUGAGUUCUUAGAGAAAUUCUUGGGAUUGACCUUGAUUCUUGAGAGCUAGGGUUUGCUUUCUUAAGAGAGAAUUAUCCUUUGAUUUUGGGAAAAAAGUGAAUAAUAAGGGGUUUUACACAUUUUUAGGGCUUAAAUCCCACAUCUGGACGGAAUAAAAUCAUGGGAAAAAACUAUUUUAACCUUAGGCGCAACUUUAAUUUUUUGAGAAACUUUUCCGAUCUGGACCCCUAGCACGAUGCGGCGCUAUCAUGUCAUGUUACUGGAAAAUGACAACUGAGAAAUUGCACGGUGGCAUGAUGUAGUGGUAUCGCAUUACCACUUUUGUCAUGAACUGGAAGUACACCACGACGCGGUGGAAUCGCAUUGGUACACUGGAAAUUGACAAUUGUGAACUAGGUCUAUGGCGCGAUGCGCCAACAUUGCAGAGCAAUACUAAAAGCUGACAAUUGCUAUUUUAACACACUCCGUGAUGCGCUACUGACCUAAAUGACGAUGUUUAAUGACUGAAUUUUUAAAAUCGUCAUAACUUCUUACCCGAUUGUUGGAUUUAGGCAAAUUUUAUAUCGUUGGAAAGCUAACUGAAGUUCCUACGCAAUGACAGGAUUAAAUAUGAAAAUUACUAAGUAUUUCAAAAAAAGUUAUUUAGGAUAACCCAUGUACUAGAGGUUAAUCUAGGCUAAGAAAAUACGGGGUAUUACAUUGAAAUCCGAAAGGAUCCUCAUCUGAAAGAAGAGAGAAAAGAGAAGAAAAAGGAAAGAAAGAGAACUGAGAAUAAAAGAGAGAGAGAGAUGAGUUGAGUUGAGUUUUUCAUCUCGAUUUUAUGGCUGAAGGAGAGAGUAUUCUGCUCCAUCUGUUUCAUAUUAGUUGAGUUGGCCCCUAUAGACUUGGCACAUCCAUUAAGAAAAAUAUUUAUUAGGGGUUUAUUUUACAAAAUUAGCCUUAUUAAUUAUCCUUUAAAAAUAUAAAUUUGAAUAUAUACACUUGUUUAGCCAUUUAAUGAUAAGGGUAUUAUUGGAAGACCAUAUUAAAAUCCUCUUGAUUUCAUCAUUGGGACAACUAAAUUGAAACAAAUAUUUUUAGAAAGAGGGUCAACUAAAAUAAAAUGAAUGGAGUAGAUAUGGGUUUUAAAUAUUCACUAAUAACUUUUGAGGGGCACGAGGAGACGGUGACAUUAAAAAGACCAGAUAAUACUACUCACUGAGGAGAUUUUUAGUUAUCCAAGUAAUAUUUUUACCACCUUAGUAUUUUAUCUUUUUUAUCUCGGACAGGAAAUACCCAAAUUACUUUAAAAAGGAUCUUAAAACAUCAAAGUCAUACUUUACAACAGAUGACAACUUCUAUUUGAAAAUUUCCAAAGCUCGGUAAUCCAACAGAUGGAUAAUUUGUUGCAACAGAUGACUUAAUCUGUUUGAUUGAUUUCAACAGAUGGGUAAUCUGUUGUAAUAGGUUGAACAAUUGUUUUAUACAAUUUUAAUUCAGUUCAUAUGUUCAACUAAUGCCUUAAUUGAUUAAUCUAGGACUGGGUGUGAGUUCUCAUAGGGUCAACUACAACUUUAAUUGAAUCUUUUGGCAAUCGCAUAAUGAGACGGUAUUGCGCUCUUCCUGACUAGAGUCAUCGAUCGAUCUCUCUGAGGUGAAGUGAUUCUUAUUGCCUUAUAUGUUUAACUAAUACCUUAAUUAAUCAUAGGGUCAACUACAAUAGAUGACAGCACCUAUUUGAUAAUUUACAACAGAUGGGUAAUCUGUUGCAACAGAUGACUUAAUCUAUUUGAUUAAUUUCAACAGAUGGGUAAUCUAUUGCAACAGAUAACUUAAUCUAUUUGAUUAAUUUCACCAGAUGGGUCAUCUAUUGCAACAGGUUAAAUAUUUGUUUUUAUAUAAUUUCAGUUGAGUUCAUAUGUUCAACUAAUGCCUUAAUUGAUUAAUCUAGGACUAGGGGUGAGUUCUCAUAAGGUUAAUUAUAACUUCAAUUGAGCCUUUUGGCAAUCGCAUGAUGAGACGGUAUUGCAUUCCUCCUGACCAAACUCAUCGAUCGAUCACUCUAAGCUGAAUCGAUUCUUAUUACCUUAUAUGUUCAACUAAUACCUCAAUUGAUCAAUCUAAGACUAGGGGUGAGUUCUCAUAAAGCCAACUACAACUUUAAUUGAGUCUUUUGGAAAAUCAUGAUGAGACGAUAAUGCAUUCCUCCUGACCAGAGUCGUCGAUUGAUCACUCUAAGCUGAAUAAAUUCUUAUUAUCUUAUAUGUUUAACUAAUACCUUAAUUGAUAAAUCUAGGACUAGGGGUGAGUUCUCAUAGGAUCAACUAUAACUUCAAUUGAGUCUUUUGGCAAAUGCAUAAUGAGACGGUAUUGCGUUCCUCCCAACUAAAGUCGUCGAUCGAUCACUCUAAGAUGAAUCAAUUCUAAUUACCUUAUAUGUUAAACAAUACCUUAAUUGAUCAAUCUAAGACUGGGGGUGAGUUCUCAUAGGGUCAACUACAACUUCAAUUGAGUCUUUUCGCAAAUACAUGAUGAGACAGUACUACGUUUCUCCUAACUAGAGUCAUCGAUCGAUCACUCUGAGGUGAAGUGAUUCUUAUUACCUAAUAUGUUUAACUAAUACCUUAAUUGAUCAUAGGGUAAACUACAACAGAUGGCAGUGCCUAAUUGAUAAUUUAUAAUAAAUAGGUAAUAUGUUGCAACAGAUGACUUAAUUUAUUUGAUUAAUUCCAACAGAUGGGUAAUCUGCUGCAACAGGUUGAACAUUUGUUUUUAUACAAUUUCAAUUGAGUUCAUAUGUUCCACUGAUGCCUUAAUUGAUUAGUCUACGACUAGAGGUGGGUUCUCAUAGGGUCAACUACAACAUUAAUUAAGUCUUUUGGCAAUCGCAUGAUGAGAGGGUUAAGAAUUAUGCAUAUCUUUUAUAAUUUUAAAAAAUAAUUAAGAUCAAUUUGGACCAAAUUAACAUUUUCAAAACUUGUCAUUCUUUUCCAAAAUAUAAAUCAACCCAUAUAAAUCAUCCAUUUGCGACAAACAUGUUUCAUCAUUUCAAAUCUCAAGUUCUUGCUCUUUUCUCUCUCUCAACAAUACAAUAACUACUCAAUAAAUUGCUCAACCCUUCACAACAGAUCAAUUUUUUUUCAUUUCCAACCACAUAGGUGUUAUUUUUUACUUUAUUAUUGUUUGUAUCAAUCAUUUUCUCUGUCUUCAUAGGUAACAGAGUUCAAGAAAAGUUCUAUAUUUGUUAUUUUUUCUAAACUUGCUUUUAGUUCGUCUUCGCCCAAGUGUGGCUAAUGCUAUAAUAGGAACGGAACUCAUACUUCUAACUCUUCCCCCCGAAACGUCUUCUUUAAGAGCGGAUCCAACCAAUGAUGAAGAGAAAAAUCUAGUUCUCUAAGGGUUUUUAAGUUAAUGAUGAAACAAAAGACUUUUAGUUGUAUUAUCUUGAGAAUGUUUUACAAUUUUGAGUUUUGAUGGUAAAAUUAUAGGAAAAACUUGAGAAAACUCUAGUUUUUAUCGUAGUGUUCCGUUGGGUAUCGUGGUAUUGUUGGAUUUUGUUUGUGGUGUUGGUGGUCAUGGUGGUGGUAUUGGUGAUCAUCGUGGUGGCACUAGUGGUGGAUGUUGGUGGCAUUGGUUGGUGGUGUUUGCGGUGGCUGUUGGUGGUAUUGGUAUUCGUAGUGUUUGUGACAUUGGUUGGUUAUGUUUGUGGUGGUGGCUGUUGGUGUGUCAGUAUUAGUGGUAUUUGUAUUGUAUUUUUUAAAAUUUAUGCAUAUAUCAAUUGUAAUGUAAUUUUUGUUUUUUUAUUAUUUGUGGGUAAAAUAUGUCUGCGAAAAGAAAAGAAAGUGAAAGUGGAUCAACUUCUGACCACCCAACAACAAAAGCUACAGUACAGAGGAAUUCAGAGGAGCUUCCUGAAUAAUCUCAGUUAGGGAAAAGUGAAGCUGAGGAGAGAUAUGAAAACAACAUUGAGUGAGAUAGACAAGGGUAUGUAGAUAGUGAUGAAGAAAAUGAAAGUGAGAAAAAAAAGAAAUUAGAGAGUGAGAAAGAGAAUGAUCAUUAACAUGAUGAUAAUGGAUCACCAAUGGGGCAUGAAUUAAUUUCGACAUCCCAACAUAAUCCUAUCAAAACUAUUAGUAUUGACAGGUUUCAAGUUGCGAUGCCGAUAAAUGACCCUGCAGCAGAAUGACUGGUGAACUUGUACUUAAAUGCCAGUUGGGGAAAUUUUUUAAUUAUUUUAGGAAUAUUAUGAACAAAGAAAACAUAGAUGGACUUUUUAAGAGGAGCUGCUUUGGAUGCUUUCUUUAGCUGCCCAACUUCCCAUUUCCAAAUGAGAAUGAUAUAUGGUCUUCUCAAGUGCAGGAUCAAGUAUGUAGGGGAUGAUAAAUAUUCAGAGGAGGAGGGAAAAAAAGAUGGAUGAAAUCUAGAUCAACUACUAUGGCAUGGCGGUUUGUUUUGGCUUGUGAGAGUAUGCCAUAGUGACAGGCUUGAUGAUGAUAGGCGAAAUUACGCGCCUAUAUCAAUAUAUUUUGCCCAUAUUUUAGCCUAGUUUCGAGAACUAAUUAUCUAUUUCGUACACUUUUAGUCCUUUUUCCUGUAAAUGAGCUAACAAAUGUGAUUAGGAAAGUUUCAGGUAUAAAUGAUGCAAAAUACAGCAAUUUAUGGCUUACUUGACGCAAAAGAAAGCUCACAAACGAGAUGGAAAGGAGCUGGACGCAUAAAGGACUAAAUCUGCUGCAUGGAAAAUCUGUCCCGGGCUAAAACAGCAUUUCUGAAGACUUUGGGACUUACAGACACAAAGCUGGAUUUUUGCCAUAAUACAUUAACCUAGUGCAAUUAGGUUAUGUGUUUCAUCAUUCUAUUUGGAUUAUAAUUUUGUAACCUUACCCUAGUACAAUUGGGUCAAGGAUUUCAUUAGUAUAUUAGGAUUUGGUUAUUUAUUUUAUUAGUUUAGUAGGAGUAGGAUAGGAGUAUUAUAAAUACCCUAUCAUGUUAGAGAUUUUAAAAAGGGGGGGAGACAUUCUGACAAUUCAUUCAUCUCCUUACAAUUAAGACAUCUUCCUACAACCCAUUCUCAAUUCUUCAUUCUUCUACUCUUAAAUUCCACAACAAGAGAAUCGUUACUUGCUACGGAAUCACUAAAACCACACGCCAAACACCUACUAUUCACGCCAUCCACCAUGCAAAACGUGAUAUCCUUCGCAUUCAUGGGUAACUAAAUCUCUUAGUUGGGGUUAUGGAAGCCGAAUGAGUUACUAUCUAUAGCUAUGAGUUUGUGAGUUCAAGACAAGUAUAUUGCUUAUAUCAUUAUUCUCUUCAUCUUAAAUCUACAUUCUUUGCGGUUCAAACACAAGAACACGCCAUUCUAACAUCUAACCUGUUCGAGAGAAAGGUUAUUUGUCUAGAAAAGAAGACGCAUAGACCAACGCCAGUCUAACAUCUGACUUGUUCGAGAGAAAAGUUAUUUGUCUGGAAAAGAGAUAAUGUCAAGGUAGUAGGACACCCUUUCCUAUUAAAAAGCUAGUGCCGUACCUGGACUAACUUCUUGGAGAAUUCGUACCGUUAGUCACGCUUUAAGCUCGAGAGAGUUAAAGUGAAAUAGUCCUUGUUUAGGUCGAGAGACGCUUGGAUUUACCAUCGACUACAAUUCUCUAUAAGCAAUUACAUGUCAAGACUCUACACACUCAUAGCCAAUAGAGACGUAUACCUCAGAAGGUGGACAUAACCCCAACGCCUCAAUUCUCAUUGUUUACAACACACGUGACAAUCUCUCUUUAUUUUGCUAUUUUCAGUUCUUACAUUCUUGUUUUGGUUACAUACUACAAUCCCCCCUUUCCUACGAGACUUGCACUAAAAGUCUAGUAAUUUCUCUUGCUUGUUGGCCAAGCUAUUCUCUGUGGGAUCGAUACCCAACCCAGGUUGGGUUCUAUAUUUGCUAACGACCGCUUUACACUCCCACGAGAGCUGUAGAUUGAGCGUUAUCAAAAAUUGGCGCCGUUGCCGGGGAAUACGAGUGUCAAUCAAGUUCGUGAAAAUUACUAGACCCUUUGGUCAAAGAUUCUCGUACUUUUACGUUUAGUUUUUGUUUUUGUUUAUUGCAGGUUUUUCUUUUAGUGCAUGCCCCAUACUAGAAGUUCUGGUCAACCGUUAUUACCAAUCAAUCCGGAACCACAACGAAUCAGAAGAAUGGAAGCACAAGCGGAAAUCGACAGGAUGGCUGCUCAACAUGAGCAAGCAAGAUUAGCUGCUCUUGCCGCUGCUCAAGUCCAACAACAAAACAUUGAUAAUCCUGGACGAGCAACAAAUCCUGACGAUGAAGAUUUAGGAGAUGACGAGUUGAUCAACCCAAGGCAUGGCGCUGAAAUGGCAACACCUACCAACAGACGAGGUCGACAAGCUCGGUACAGAUAUGAUCGCCAACCUUUGCAACCAGCUUUCGACGAUGAUGAUGAUGAUCUUGAUGGUGCCGGAGCCACUGGAGCUAUAAUUCCACCACCAUUAGCGCCCGGAGCCAAGUUCAACAUCACUAGCACCAUGAUUCAGUUAUUGCAACUCAAGGGAUUAUUUGGUGGACUAGCAGGCGAUGAUCCGAAUAUGCAUCUCAUCAACUUUAUUUCUACAUGCAAGUCUUUUGACAAUCCUGGAGUUGGUCAGAAUGCUAUUCGAUUACGUCUAUUUCCAUUGUCUCUGUCUGGGGAGGCAACAUUAUGGUUGAAUGGGCUGACUCCUGAUUCUAUUACAAAUUGGAGGCAAUUGAGAGACGCUUUCCUAGAAAGAUUCUUUCCGCCAUCCAAGAGGGCUCAAUUGAGAGAUGAAAUCAGCAACUUUCGUCAGCUUCCCUCUGAAGCUCUUCACGAAACAUGGGAGAGGUUCAAGACAAAGCUAGCGAGAUGCCCAAACCAUCACAUGACUAAUGUUCACCUCAUGGAGAUCUUAUAUAGAGCCUUGAAUUCAGUAACUAAACCAGUGGUGGACAACGCAGCUGGAGGUUCUUUUAUGGACCUCACCUUUGGUCAAGCAAGCAACAUGCUAGAUCGUAUGACGAAACAAAGUAGAGCUUGGCAUACCAGGGAUUCUGAGGUAGCAAGCCCCACUUUAUCUAUUGGCAUGUCUGCAGAUCAAAGAAGGAGAGAAGAAGAACGUGAUCAAGAUAUGGCGCACAUGAAAACCCAAAUGGAUCUUCUUACAAAGCAUCUAUUAGGGAAGACUGAAAAAGUGAAAUCUAUUGCGUCAAAAGGAAGAGACGAAUCUGAUUCAGAAGAGGAGGCCAACUACUUGAACAAUCAGGGGGGUUUCCGUGGGAAUGCCCAAGGAAACCAAGGUCGGAACUAUUAUGACAAAUCUGGAGGUAAAGACCAAGGUAGUUGGAAGAAAAAUAAUGAAAACAGUGGUUUGUACGUUCCCCCUGGUAGACGUGAUACCACCACAUCUAAUUCUAUGGAAGACAUGAUGGCUAAGUUAUUGAAAGGAGUGGAAGCGACGAAUGCGGGAGUUAAGGAGGUGAUUGACGAUUUGGCCUCCAUGAAGCAAUUAGUUGAUUCUCAUUCCACUUCUAUCAAGCAACUAGAGCAGCAAUUCAGUCAACUUUCAGCAACACUCAACCAAAGAAAAGCCGGCACCUUGCCUAGCGAUACGGUGCAAAAUCCAAGGACUGAUGGGUCAUGCAUGGCCAUCACUACGAGGAGUGGUAAGGUGCUGGAAACUUCAGCAGAAGGCAAGCAAAUAGUUGACAGAACAGCAGACACAACCGCCACACCUAGUGACGCCACUAGGGAAGACGCCGCAAUAUCCACUUCCAACGUCAAGGACGUGUUGCCUAGUGACGUGCAGCCUGAAAAAAGUAAUAAACGGAAGCAAGAGGAGAAGAAAGCCAUGGAAAGAACACUUCCAUACCCACCACCACCUUUUCCACAAAGACUGAAGAAGGCGGCCGAUGACACUAAGUUCAGCAAGUUCAUGACCAUCUUGAAGCAGCUGACUAUUAAUGUCCCAUUGGUAGAGGCACUUGAACAAAUGCCUGGGUAUGCGAAGUUUAUGAAAGAUCUUUUGACUAAGAAGAGGGCAGCAAGCUAUGAGCUGAAAGAAGAUGUGCAUCAUUGUAGUGCAAUAGCUACCCGAUCCAUAGUUCAGAAGAAGGCCGACCCCGGAGCUUUCACUAUUCCUUGCACCGUCGGAUCUUUGGACUUUGCUAAAGCAUUAUGUGACUUAGGAGCCAGCAUCAACUUGAUGCCAUUAUCAAUCUACAAGAAGUUGGGGUUGGGAGAUCCUACACCAACUAAUAUGAAGCUUGUUAUGGCGGAUAGGUCGGUAAAACGACCGGUUGGUAUUCUAUGCGAUGUCUUGGUGAAGGUAUCUUCAUUCAUAUUUCCAGCAGACUUUGUCAUCUUGGAUUGCGAAGCAGAUUCAGAGGUUCCCAUAAUCUUGGGACGCCCUUUCCUUGCUACGGGAAGUGUGCUCAUAGAUUUGAGAGCUAAUGAACUUUCAUUCCGAAUAAAUGAUGAAGUGGUGCGCUUUGAUGUUUGCAAAUCAAUGAAGCAACCCAAAGAUCUAAGUGUAUUUUCUGUGACUGAUGUUGUCGUUGAUGACGAGGAUGAGUUACUUGCUGAAGAACAAAUUCUUGAUGAUCCUUUGGAGGUUUUGCUCAUGGAAGAAGAUGAUGAUGAUGCUGAAAUUUCUGAAGAUGAUAUUUGUGCUCUAUCGGGAUUAGGAGCAUAUCGCUAUCCUCCUAAGAAGCUGGAUAUUGAUCUCAAGAAUCGACCCACACCACCAGCUAAGCCAUCUAUUGAAGAACCACCCACAUUAGAAUUAAAGGAGCUGCCAAGCCAUUUGAAGUAUGCAUUCUUAGGAAGCGGAAACACUCUUCCAGUCAUAGUGGCAGCCGAUUUAGGUGAGCAACAAGUUGCAGCUCUUAUUGCAAUUUUACGCAAGUAUAUUAGAGCUAUUGGAUGGACCAUUGCGGAUAUCCUUGGUAUUCCACCUGGAAUUUGCACUCAUAAAAUUCAGCUCCAAGAAAAGUGCACACCCACCAUCGAACACCAAAGACGUCUAAACCCACCAAUGCAAGAGGUGGUGAAGAAGGAGAUUAUCAAGUGGUUAGACGCAGGAGUUGUGUAUCCUAUUUCUGAUAGUACAUGGGUAAGCCCAGUACAAUGUGUUCCCAAGAAAGGAGGUAUGACGGUGGUUGCGAAUGCAAAGAAUGAGCUUAUUCCACUCAGGCCCGUCACUGGAUGGAGAGUAUGCAUGGACUACCGCAAGCUGAAUUCUUGGACUCUCAAGGAUCACUUCCCCAUGCCAUUUAUGGACCAAAUGCUAGAUCGAUUAGCGGGAAAAGGAUGGUUUUGCUUUCUUGAUGGUUAUUCAGGUUAUAAUCAGAUUUUUAUUGCACCAGAAGACCAAGAGAAGACAACGUUUACAUGCCCAUAUGGUACGUUUGCCUUCAAACGUAUGCCAUUCGGGUUAUGUAAUGCACCAGCCACCUUUCAGCGAUGUAUGAUGUCUAUUUUCUCUGAUAUGGUAGAAGACACUUUGGAGGUAUUUAUGGACGACUUUUCAGUUGUUGGGGAGUCUUUCGAAGCAUGUUUGGUGAAUUUAAGCAUGGCAUUACAAAGAUGUGUAGAGUUCAACCUUGUGCUGAAUUGGGAGAAGUGCCACUUCAUGGUAAAAGAAGGAAUUGUUCUUGGGCACAAGAUCUCCGAAAAAGGAAUAGAGGUUGAUCGCGCCAAAAUAGAGGUAAUUGAGAAGCUACCACCUCCAAUUUCGGUGAAGGGAGUUCGUAGUUUUCUUGGCCAUGCUGGGUUUUAUCGUAGAUUCAUCAAAGACUUCUCCAAAAUUUCUAGUCCAUUAUGCAAGCUAUUGGAGAAAGAUGCGAAGUUUGACUUUAAUGAUGAUUGCUUAAAGGCAUUUGAAUGCCUUAAAGAAAAACUCGUUGAAGCCCCUAUCAUGGUAACACCAGAUUGGACGCUCCCGUUCGAAGUCAUGUGUGAUGCUAGUGGUGUAGCCGUUGGUGCUGUUCUUGGACAGAGAAAGGAGAAAUUAUUUCAUCCUAUCUACUAUGCGAGUAAGGUCCUCAAUGAAGCCCAAAGGAACUACACCGUCACUGAACAAGAGCUAUUAGCGGUUGUGUAUGCGUUUGAGAAGUUCCGCGCCUACCUAUUAGGUACUAAAGUGAUCGUUCAUACAGACCAUGCAGCUCUUAGGUAUCUAAUGACAAAGAAGGAUGCAAAACCAAGGCUGAUUCGAUGGGUGUUGCUGCUGCAAGAGUUUGAUUUCGAAGUCAAAGAUAGAAGAGGUUGCGAGAACCAAGUGGCUGAUCACCUAUCUAGACUUGAGAAUGAGUAUGUGGCGCAAUCAGAAAAUCAGAUUGGCGAUGCAUUCCCUGACGAGGAGAUAUUAGCGACAACAAUAGAAGACUUACCAUGGUAUGCCGACUUUGCGAAUUUCGUGGUGAGUAAUGUGUUACCUACAAAUUUAUCUUACCACCAGAGGAGGAAGUUUAUGCAUGACGUUCAGCACUAUUAUUGGGAUGAGCCUUAUUUGUUUCGAAGAUGUGCGGAUGGUAUCAUUCGACGAUGUAUAUCCCAUGACGAAGUGCCCACUAUAUUAGAAGCAUGCCACACUUCGCAAGUUGGAGGACAUCAUGCGGGUAAUCGAACAGCAAGAAAAGUCUUGCAAAGUGGUUAUUAUUGGCCUACAAUAUUCAGAGAUGCACACGACUAUGUGAGAAGGUGUGACCAAUGCCAACGUCAAGGUGUUAUUUCAAAACACCAUGAAAUGCCCAUGUCCACAAUCCUGGAGGUAGAACUCUUUGAUGUAUGGGGUAUUGAUUUCAUGGGACCAUUCGUAAAUUCGUUUGGAAUGAAGUACAUCUUGGUUGCUGUGGAUUAUGUGUCGAAAUGGGUUGAAGCUGUAGCAUUGGCCGAUAAUGAAGGAAAGCGUGUUGUAGCGUUUUUAAAGAAGAAUAUCUUCUCUCGCUUUGGGGUACCUCGUACUAUCAUAAGUGAUGGAGGAUCUCACUUCUGCAACAAGCUAUUCAAAUCUGUAUUGGCCAAGUAUGGAGUCAAGCAACACAAGGUAGCUACGCCUUAUCAUCCCCAAACUAGUGGACAAGUAGAGGUUUCCAAUCGGGAGAUCAAGCAAAUCCUUGCCAAGACGGUCAAUGCGAAUCGGAAGGAUUGGUCUCGGAAGCUAGAUGAUGCACUAUGGGCGUAUAGGACUGCAUUCAAGACACCCAUUGGCAUGUCACCUUAUCAGCUAGUUUAUGGGAAGGCUUGUCAUCUACCCAUCGAGCUUGAAUACAAGGCAUUAUGGGCAUUGAAGCACUUGAAUCUGAAUUGGGAUGAUGUGAAGAACCUGAGGUUGGAGCAGCUGAACGAGCUAGAUGAAUUCCGUCUCCAUGCUUAUGAAAGAUCAGAUUUAUACAAGGAGCGGAUGAAGAAGUAUCACGAUCAGCGGAUUGUUCGACGACACUUCCAAAAAGGUGACAUGGUGCUACUCUUUAACUCCAGAUUCAAGCUCUUCCCAGGUAAGUUAAAAUCAAAGUGGUCUGGUCCAUUUAAAGUCACCCACGUCUACUCGUUUGGAGUAGUCGAAUUGGAAAAUAAUGAGGGUGUUAUCUUCAAGGUGAAUGGCCAACGUGUUAAGCCAUAUAUCGGUCCUCUUGACUCGAUAAAUGACAUGGCCAUCACUUAUCUCGACGAAGUCUAAGUACUCGAGAUUACUACGUCGAGCCACGACAAUAAAUAAGGCGCUAGAUGGGAGGCAACCCUUCGUUUUAUUGUUUUAUCGUUUUGUCGUUUUAGUAUUUUUUCUUUUUGAUAAAUGAAAAUCCAAAAAUAAGAGUCGUGCCACGACCAAAACUAAGGCGCUUGGUGGGAGGCAACCCAUCGUACUAAUCGUUUUCAUUUGUUUGAGCAAAUAUAGGUGUAAGAAGUAUGCAACGAGGAGAUUGAUUUCAAUUGACGAUUUGGUCGCGUCGUAUGGUAAAGGCGGUAAGUUAGGAAUGGUGAUGCAUAAGGCUAUGAAUUGAGCCUUUCUCACGUCAUAAUAGGCUUCGAGGAAGGCUAGGCCUUGGUAAAAAUAGGCCACGAACGAUGCACAACCUAUUCUAUAGCCUAAGGACUCGGAAUCUAGUGUGCUAUACCCUAUGCGCCGCCUAUUCCUAGGUGUGCUUUUGACUAUGCGCCGCCUAUGUCCCAUUAUGCCAUGGACAAUGCGCCGCAUAUACAUGUGAUAUGCCGAGGGAUAUGCGCCGCAUAUAGGGUGAUUUUGUCCCCAAAUCCGAUUGUAAAUGGGUCAUAACCCGACCCAUACUCCUCCUAUAUAAAGGGGACUUGUUUUUAUUUCACAAACACAUUAGAAUCAACCCUAAAGGCGCCGCAUAUCAUCCCAAAUCCUCUCAAAUUUUUCUUCCUUUGUUCUUCCAAUCCACAACAACUUCUCCACAAUCUUCAAGCAAGUAAGUGCUCUCUUAUUCUUCAUCUAUUUAUCAUGAGUACUACUUUACUAUGCUUAUUAUUAAAUGCUAAAUCACGUGAGAUUAGUGGUGAUGUUCAUGUGCUUGGAUAAUUGUUGCAAAAAUCGUAUGAUUGAAUGAAUACGAAUGCAAUUCUUGACUUGUUUCCGACUUGAAUUUUGUUUCAAUGGCAUUGUUAUGAUACUUGCUGAACAUAUAUGGCUAUGAAUAUUGCUUGAAAGUGUUGUUUGGAUGCUUGCAUGAUUCACCACCCCGGCCAUCGGGAUACGGUUAUAGUGACUAUCCACGUAGGAGGUAGUGUUGGUUGUUCGAAUAGCAAUUCCAUGUGGUAACUCCUAUGUUAUAGUAUCGCUAUAUGCACCAUGAAAGACGUCCAAAUGGCUGUUCAUAAGUGAUGUCAUGCUGAUUUUCUUGUCGGAAUACAAUCCGAGGACGUAUGUCGACGAAGUCUGAGUACUCGACCACUUUCACUUCACUGAUUUUUGCUAACAAGAUUAAGUGUGGGGUGGUACCCCUAAUGCUUGCAUAUAGAAUUGUCUAAAGUGCGAUUGUGCCGCAUCUAACAUUAUUUCUAGUCUCAGGUACAAUGGCACCGAAAGCAAGGCAAGGCAAGGAGAAGGCUACCACAACCCGCAAGGACAAAAAGAGAAGCCGAAAAGACCAAGGCGAAUCAUCUUCCGCACACCUACCACGCAGAAUGUUCGGAAUCAAAUGGGUUCUUGAGGAAGAAGCCAAGGCAUGGUACAGCAGCAACAAAGAAAAGAAAUAUGUGCACGUCGACUUAAUCAAUAAGGAGACCUUAGCAAAGAAGGAGCCGCAAAUGUUGGCUAAGAUUAUGGCUUUGAAGCUGGAUUUCAUCUUCCGUGACAUGGGAGAGUGCAAUCUUGACUUGACAAGAGAGUUUUAUGCCAACUGGUCGCCAAACACAACAGGCAACGAAGUCAAAAUUCGGGGCCAAGUGUUACAGCUUACAGCGGAUUGGAUCAACUCGUUUCUAGGCCUACCUUCGGUCGACACUGCACCAUACAAAGAGCUGUACAGCAGACCUCCUUACAGAGCUAUAAGACACACGCUUUGUGGAAGCAGAUCGAUGGCGAGAUGGGGCAGACAUAAGGAAACAGGCCGUCACAACACAUUCCCCUAUGCUCCACUAAAUAGGGAAGCAAGAAUCUGGAUGCGCAUUGUCAACUCAUGCCUCAUUCCUGGGACGCAAUACACAAAGAUAUCGAGAGAUAGAGUGUGCCUGGUUUAUUCAUUAAUGACGAAUGUCCCUAUCAACUUUGGGGCAAUCAUUCGAUCCACCAUGAGGAAAGCCAGACUCCACAGCAGGUCCUAUUUCACAUUCGGCAAUUUGUUGACAGCAAUGUUGCGGAAGGAGGAUAUAGAAGAGGAACCAGCUGACCACAAACUCCCACAUACCCCAAAGAAGGUUGACCUCACCAAGGUCAAAGAUGCUGAAACAACGCAUGGAGUCAACCUUACCACUGCGGAGAGACAUGCUCGUGACGAGAGUUUCUUCCGUCAUCUCUAUGGCAUGACGAGAUUCACUAUGAUGAGUGGUGGACGUAUUCCAACUGCUGAAGAGCUCCAACAGCUGGACCACGACUACCCAAUGAACAGACAUGCCCGGGAGAUGUGUGGAGUGGGAGUAUAUUUCGAGGAACCUCUUGAUGAUGACGUGCCAACUGAUGAUGAUAGACGCUUGCCUGAUUCUGAUGCUGAGGAGAACUCUGACGAUGACUCUUACGAUGACUCGAACGAAGGGGGUAUGACAUUGAGGAAGAGUCCGACUAAUCAGGUUCUUCGACUUUAUUUUCCACUGAGGGCAGUGUCUAGUCUAAGUGUGGGGUGUCGGCAGAAUCUGCAUGCUAUAUUUGUAUGUUUGCUUGUUUAUUUUGUUUUAUUUAUUUUGUUUUGAGUCCGAUUUUUUUUGUGAUUUUUUUCGUGUGACGUUUUUUUUUAGUUUUUAGUAGUUAAAAUUUUUCUAGCCUCGCAUGAAAUUAUUUUAAUAGGCAGCAUGAGAUUAUAACAAUAGUAUGUAUUACAAUUGUGACUAUUGAGACAUUUAGGCUCUAGUUGUGACUCAUUAUGUGAUAGUGUGUGAUUCAAUUCCUUCACUUGUUGGGUUGAGAGUCUAUAUUGCUACCAAUCAAGUCGACCAUGUGCCUUGUGUGUGUGAGAUAAUAGUAUAUUCUAUGUAUGUGGCUGAUGCUAGAACUUGCCUGGUAUGUAUGCAAAGCGAAAAUAAGGAGUGUAAGUUUAGGAUAUGAUUUAGGCAUUUCUUUGGCAACCUAUAUUUGUUUACCUUCAGUUUUACCUACCCAUGGACAUCAUCCUAGUUAAACCCUUUUGAGCCUUUAGCCUAUUUCUUUGACAACCUUGUAUGUAAGCCUAAUUCAUUUUUUUUCAAGACCGUAAUUUGAUCCAAAUUCCUAAGUGCUUUAAAGUAAAAAAGUCAUGUGACAACAUAAGAGGAAAUUGGUUGAGUAUGAUGCUUUAAAUUGUAAUGGUGCUUGAAUAUGUUAUGAAAAAGAAAGUGCUAUCAUAAGAGGUAUGUUGUGAGAAGAAAAAGGAAAAGAAAGCUGAAAAGUGAGUUGUGCUUUAAAAUUGAAAAACAAAAGAGGAGAACAAGGGUGCUACAAAAAAAGUGUCAAUAAUACAAUGUGAUGUAUUAAAGUGCUUAGGAACUUAGUCACUAUUUCUGGCCAAAAUAGUUGAUCCUACCCGUCCCUUAGCCUACAUUACAACCAUCAAAAGACCUACUUGAUCCUAACCUUAACAUUCCGACAUUUAGUGGAGUACUACAUUAAGGGCAAGCCUAUGGUCAUUAGCUGCUACAUAUGAAUUCUUUGUGAGAGUGAGCGCAAGGAUACUUUGCUGCCCAUGUUUGAAAAAUAUGCUAUACUUGUGAGUGAUUAUGGGUACUAUAUUGUGAGACACACAUGGUUGAUGAGUUUUGGAUAGUUGUAUAUGAUUCUAUGUACCUUAAACGUUUGCAUGCGAGUUGAUCACCAUCACGAGUCUAUGCUUGAGGUUAAAUUGUUUCUACUUAUAAUCGGAAAGCUACUCUUCGUUGAUAAUUGUUGUGCUUGUCUUGAAGAAUGUUUUGUGUUGUUUCUGUAAAAACCUUAAGUCAAUGCUUAGAAGGACAUGAUAUGUUGUUCGAGGACGAACAAAGCUCUAAGUGUGGGGUGUUGAUGAUAGGCGAAAUUACGCGCCUAUAUCAAUAUAUUUUGCCCAUAUUUUAGCCUAGUUUCGAGAACUAAUUAUCUAUUUCGUACACUUUUAGUCCUUUUUCCUGUAAAUGAGCUAACAAAUGUGAUUAGGAAAGUUUCAGGUAUAAAUGAUGCAAAAUACAGCAAUUUAUGGCUUACUUGACGCAAAAGAAAGCUCACAAACGAGAUGGAAAGGAGCUGGACGCAUAAAGGACUAAAUCUGCUGCAUGGAAAAUCUGUCCCGGGCUAAAACAGCAUUUCUGAAGACUUUGGGACUUACAGACACAAAGCUGGAUUUUUGCCAUAAUACAUUAACCUAGUGCAAUUAGGUUAUGUGUUUCAUCAUUCUAUUUGGAUUAUAAUUUUGUAACCUUACCCUAGUACAAUUGGGUCAAGGAUUUCAUUAGUAUAUUAGGAUUUGGUUAUUUAUUUUAUUAGUUUAGUAGGAGUAGGAUAGGAGUAUUAUAAAUACCCUAUCAUGUUAGAGAUUUUCAAGAAGGGAGACAUUCUGACAAUUCAUUCAUCUCCUUACAAUUAAGACAUCUUCCUACAACCCAUUCUCAAUUCUUCAUUCUUCUACUCUUAAAUUCCACAACAAGAGAAUCGUUACUUGCUACGGAAUCACUAAAACCACACGCCAAACACCUACUAUUCACGCCAUCCACCAUGCAAAACGUGAUAUCCUUCGCAUUCAUGGGUAACUAAAUCUCUUAGUUGGGGUUAUGGAAGCCGAAUGAGUUACUAUCUAUAGCUAUGAGUUUGUGAGUUCAAGACAAGUAUAUUGCUUAUAUCAUUAUUCUCUUCAUCUUAAAUCUACAUUCUUUGCGGUUCAAACACAAGAACACGCCAUUCUAACAUCUAACCUGUUCGAGAGAAAGGUUAUUUGUCUAGAAAAGAAGACGCAUAGACCAACGCCAGUCUAACAUCUGACUUGUUCGAGAGAAAAGUUAUUUGUCUGGAAAAGAGAUAAUGUCAAGGUAGUAGGACACCCUUUCCUAUUAAAAAGCUAGUGCCGUACCUGGACUAACUUCUUGGAGAAUUCGUACCGUUAGUCACGCUUUAAGCUCGAGAGAGUUAAAGUGAAAUAGUCCUUGUUUAGGUCGAGAGACGCUUGGAUUUACCAUCGACUACAAUUCUCUAUAAGCAAUUACAUGUCAAGACUCUACACACUCAUAGCCAAUAAAGACGUAUACCUCAGAAGGUGGACAUAACCCCAACGCCUCAAUUCUCAUUGUUUACAACACACGUGACAAUCUCUCUUUAUUUUGCUAUUUUCAGUUCUUACAUUCUUGUUUUGGUUACAUACUACAAUCCCCCCUUUCCUACGAGACUUGCACUAAAAGUCUAGUAAUUUCUCUUGCUUGUUGGCCAAGCUAUUCUCUGUGGGAUCGAUACCCAACCCAGGUUGGGUUCUAUAUUUGCUAACGACCGCUUUACACUCCCACGAGAGCUGUAGAUUGAGCGUUAUCACUUGAGAUGCGAUUUCCCAGAAGAACCUAUCACCAAGGAAAUCAAGACAGACAAACGACCCAGCAAAACCAAUAAACGCAAGGAAAAAAUAGAUGGGUUGUUGGACAUUACGAACGUGGCUACAAAGCAUCGGAUUUGAUGACAGAUCUCAAGGAUAAAACCAUACAAAAGCAGUACAGGGAGCAAUUGUGCUUAGUUUGGGUUGCCCAUUCGGUUAUAUAGGCAAGAGACGUCAACAAGGUCAUAGAAGAUGAUUUAUUAGCACGUGCUGAGGAUUUUAAUAAAUUCAACAAUUAUCUCUGGGGAUAUGACAACUUCUACUUGAUUGUCCAAUAUUUACUGACAAAGCUAUCCAUAGGGACGACCACAUUAUACGGCUUUCUUUAGGUUUUCAUUGUAAAAUUAAUCACUAUUUUUACUCAUCCAUUAAUUUAUAUUGAAUAUAGUUAUUAUGACUUUUUUUGCUUGCUUCCUCUUUACAUUUUUUAGGCUUAGGCAUUUGAAGCCAUUCCUCCCCUCUGAAAGUAGGUAAUGGAUUACUUGGAUGAGGUUUCUCAUCAAAUAAUGUUUAGUGGUUGGCUGCAAAGAACAAAACAAGAAUUAAGGAGGCUGAUCUCUUUAAUCCUCUAGAUGAUGAAAUACGUCUUCUUUAAGUAAAAUAAUUUAACUCAAUGAAAGAUAUUGAACAGAUAUUAUAUCUGGUGCAACAGAUAUUAUAUCUGAUGCACCAAAUGGGAUAUCUGUUGCGAUAGAUUACCCGUCAUGUGCCAACUGGUGCAACGGAUGGGUAAUCUGUUGUGAUAGACGAUUGAUAUUUUGUAUUAGAUUACCCUCUAUUGCUUUGGUUCUCUGAACCCGACUCUUAACAAAUUAACCAUCUACUGUAAAUUAUUUAACAGAUGGGUAAUCUAAUAUAACAUAAUGUUAAUCUGUUACGACAUACAGAUCAUCUAUUACAUAACAUGUAACCCAAGAGACUACCCAUCUUAUGCCAACUGGUGCAACAGAUUGGUAAUCUGUGGCGACAGAUGAUUGAUACUUUGUAUCAUAUUAUCCAUCUGUUGCUCUGGUUCUCUAAACCUGACUCAAACAACUUCUAACCAUUUAUUGUAAACUAUGCAAUAGAUGUGUAAUCUGAUGUAAUAUAUUGUUAAUCUGUUGUGGCAUACAGAUAUCUGUUCUAUAAGUUGUCUAUGUUAACAUGUAACCCAACUGUGAAAAUUAUUACUCUCUCCGUCCCAUUUUAUGUGUCGCCAUUUUACCGGGCACAGAGUUUAAGAAAUAAGUGAAGACUCGAUAGUAUUUACCAAAUUGUCCUUUAUCAAAAAAUGUGCUACUAUCUUUUUUUUAAUUAAGUGGGCCCAAUAAGGAUAAAAGUGUAAUUGUAUUUUUAUAUAUUUACCAAAUAAGGAAACAUGACAUUCUUUUUGGGACGGACUAAAAAGGAAAUGAUGACACAUAAAAUGGGACGGGGGGAGUAUAUUAUAUGAUUUAAAUGUAUCUGUCUUUUUUAUUAGUUGUGCACCCGUGGAACAUGCCUACUGAGCAGAAGUUGGGGAUGACCUUUUUUAUUACUCUAGGUCAUGUUGAUACUAUAGCAAACCCAAUGGUGGAGCUAAUAGAGAAAGAAUUGGUUGGAGCAAUAGCCAUAACAAGAGCAGUUAGGCAAGCUCAGCCUAAUGUUCAGGCUCUUCAUGACCAACCUACUAAGGCAGAUCUGGGUACUUCUUCAGUGGAGUUGUUGGUGCCUUCUUCAGUGAAGUUAUUGGUGUUGGUGGCAGGCAUGCUAAUGCUGCUACCACUCAUGAUGAUGAUCAUGUUGAUGCUCAAGAAAAAACAAAUAUAUUUGAAAACACCUCUUUCAUAGGUCCCCCUAACCCUUACACGGGUCCAUCUCAUCCUUACACCGGUCACUCCCACCCCUCUUCACCUUCGUGUUCUCAUUGCAAAUGCGAAGAGUGCAAGGACAGCUAGGAUAAACUCUUUGAAAGGUAGAGGCUAUCAUUAAAGCUGUCGAGGAAUUCAAAUCUAAGAGAGGUGUCAUACCAUCCAAGAAGGUGAGGGAUCCAUACACUCCUACAGCGGCAGUUAGAAGGAAGAAAAGAGCAAUUAGCGACAUACUCUCCAGUCUGAAAUCAAAAAAUAUUAAAGUUCAGGGUCCAUUAAAGAAGGUCGACAUAUACGCAGAACUUGGCGCCAAAGAGAAGAGGGAUCUGCGAUGGGCCACGAAUGCCAAGCUAGGCCCACCAGAUUACCCCAGGCCUCCCUUUUUUCCUAAGACUUCCAUAUUGUGAUAGAUAUGCGUAUGCGGUAUGAGGACAAGGUAAGUUUACUUUUCCUAACCUACCCUUCUAAUCUACUCAAUGAAGAAGAAGCUACGUAAUAGAUGUGAAAUUUGUUACAAUAGUUGGGUAUUCUAGUGCAAAUGGUAGUGGUUUUAUUACAACUUAUUAACCAUCUGUUGCAUAAGUUGCAUUGGAUUAUUGAUUCAGAGAACCUUACGUAAUAGAUGGACCUUCCGUUGCAUUUUUACAAUUACUAGCCUAUUUAAAAAUUGACUUCUUAUAUCAUAGUAUGUUGACAAAAUUCUCUGCCUAAUAAGGAAAAGGCAGUUAGUAUACCCGAAAGUUUAUGACAUUACCGAUAGGAUAAUGGACCUCGACUUCUACAAGAAGCUCAAGGAUAAGUACAAUCAACUCAAUAAUCUAGCAUCAUCCUGUGGUGCGCGAUUUGAUUCAUUAGUUUCUACGUUAGAUUGGGAUGAAGAAAAACUGAUAAAAUAUGUUAGAGGGAAGAGGCCAAAUCCAGACGGCAAAAGCUGAACCGAGGCAAAGAGGAUUCUUCAGUCAUGAGCAUGGAUAGAAUGCAUUAUUAGGCUUUUAAGAUACUACUUGAGGGUGGAAAGAUCAAGGUUUAUGACUGCAACAAAUAUGCCAUUGAUGAGGUCAUGUUUUUUAUCUACGUGCAACCACUGAUGGACCUAUUCCCCAUAUCGUUGAGGCAGAGUAAACUGAUGUAUUAUUUGCUAGAGGAAGUGUUGAUGAAGAAAUCAUGGGAUUUUAAAGGUCGAAACAAGGGCAUGAACCUUGCAAAAAAUGAUACCAAUUUUGUGUGUGGCUCGCACGCGCUUGCAUACAUUGAAUGUUUACUGACCGGCACAAAAAUGGUUGAGCCAACGACCUUUCUAUGUGACAACACUGUGGAAAACCUGCAAAAGGUCUGGAAUUAUGAGGUACUAAUUGGACGCUUGGAUCCUGGAUAUAAAUAAGAGCCUGUGAAAUAACAAUUUUUUUAUUUCAAGUCACACUUCACUUUACAUUACAUGUACACGUAGUGGCAAUAUUUUUUUUUAUGAAAGUUAAGUUUUUAAUAAUGCAAUAGAUUGUCAAUCUGUUGUAAAAUAUAUUAUAUCGGUUCUAGCAGAUUGUUUAUCUGUUCCAUUAUGCCGAUGUUAUUUCUAUCUAAUCUAUGUCUAAUUUGUUGCAACAGUUGGAAGACUUGUUUGAUAAUUUCCAACAGAUGUCCUAAAUUUUGCAAUAUAUGCCUAAAUCUGUUUGAUAUUUUCCAACAAUUACGCUUGAAUAUCCAUGUGCUCGAUAACACCAAACCAGUAGCAAAUACACCACCAUAAAAAUUUCAGCAAUUAGGCUUGAAUAUCCAUGUGCCCAACACUACCAAACCAGUAGCAAUAACGGCAAUAAUAUAGCUUCGUCUUACUCGAUUUUGUUUCUCGUCAGAAGCUUUGACUUUCUUCAACAAACCCCAGAUUACACGAUUUUCUUAUGAAGGGUGUCGUUCUUCACACCAAUCAAAGUAAUCUUAUCCACCCAAUUUCUAUAAAAAUAAGAACACAAUUAUAAAAUAAUUACUAGUCAAUAAUUAAUCAACUAAUUAAAUAAAAAAUAUUACCUUUGAAAUCUUACAAGUAAAAAAUCUACGACCUGGAAUUUGUUGAGUCCAAGAAGUCUUCAAUAGAGCUUCAUGAUCGCACUUACAAUAUCAAAUAUCUUUGUCACAAAAAACAAUGAAAGACAAGCUCGACAUUGUCAAGCUCAGUUGGAAAAAAUGAAAAAAAUACAAAUAAUCGAGAUAAAUUUGAAUAGAGAAAAAAAAUGAAGAAGAAAAAAAAGAUUUGGAAAUUUAGGAAGAAUAUGAAUAUAUAAGACAAUGGGAUAAAAAUAACCAUUGGGGGACAAAUCAACAAAAAUGGGGGUUCAACGAGCCUUGGAUGCGUGAAUUACACGUGAGCAGCCAACAGGGUGAAAAGUGACAAACUAACACAUUUGAUGCCUAUUUAAUCUUGCGUGUUUAAAAUGAAUAUUGUCUACUUGAUGCCUAUUUUAUCUUAGGUGUUUAAACUGAACACUGUCGAUGGGUUUCGCCUUUUUUAUUUCAAGACACUUUCACUUUUUUAUAUGUAGUGUCAAUUUUUUAUGUCUAACAAAAAUUAAACUUUUAUAAUGUAACAGAUUGUCCAUCUUUUGUAACAGAUAUUCUACCUAUUCUGACAUAUAUUUUAUCUGUUGUAAUAGGUUGGUCAUCUGUUGCAUUAUAUUGAUGUUUCUAUCUAAGUCUAUCUAUUGUAAUAGUAGGAAGACCUAUUUAAUAAUUUCCAAUAGAUUACCUACCUGUUGCAACAUAUGUCCAAAUCUGUUUGAUAUUUUUCAACAGAUGUAUCGUCUAUUGCAAUAGAUACAUUAUUUGUUGCAAUAUUUAUAUCUAGUAUUCCAUUUCAAUUAAUAAGUUCAAAUCUAAGGAAAAAAAAUAAAUUCAUAGACAAAAUAAAUAAAUCGAAGCCUUCAGAAAUUAGCUGAAAUAAAUCAAUGAAUAAAUAAAAGAUAAAAAAAUUGUUAUGGGUACAAAUCUCAACAAAUACAUCAACAAUUUAAGUAUUGAUGCCAAGAAUUCCUAAGGAGGGGUGAGGUUAUUACUUUGACAGACUCAAGCUAUAAAGAUCUACUCAAUAUAGACAAGUUGUUCCAGAAUUCGGCUUUAGUCAUCGUGGAUCUUUAUUAUAGCUUACGUACGGUUUCUGCGCUUUCUGUUCUCUGUAUUUCUAUAAAAAGAGUAGCACAUUGUCAAUGUUAUUUAACAGUAGAUUCUAUAUCCACCUAGAAAUCCAGAAUUGGUCAAUGCUAACCACCGAAAUACAAUAAAACAGAAAAGAAUAACUCAUCUAUUCUAGCAAAUCAAACAGGCCUUCCUCCAAUUUUAAAUUAUCCCAAAUAGAUUAUAUUUCUGUUGCAACAGAUGAAUCAAAUGUUGGGAUAAAUUUCUAUAUGAGAAAGACCUGUAUGAUAAUUUUCAAUGGAUGAACCAUCUGUUACAAUAUAUGACUCAUCUGCUGUAUUAGAUAGGUCAUCUAUUGGUACAAAUAAAAGCAGUACGAAGAGCUAUUUGAUUUGCUAAAAUAUACGAGACAUAUGUUACAAUAGAUACUUUAUCUGAUGCAACAAGUUAGUCAACUGUUGCAACAGAUGUACAUAUCUGUUUGAUAAUUUUCAGUAGAUUUUUCAUUUGUUGAAAUAGAUGUGUCUGUUUGUUAGUUGGAAUAGGCAUAUAUAUUCACCUUCUUCAGCUCGUGCUGCUCUCCUUUGGCAAUAGUACAUUGCUCAAUGCAAAACACGAGUAGAGGAGUUACAAUUUUUCUUUUUUAGAUGCUUGAUAAUGCCUUGGAAAUUACUUCUCUUCUCCUCUUAGCCUUAAUCUCUAAUGGAGUGGAUGGAUAUAAAAUCCUCUUUGACAGAAUGACCCCCUCUUAGAUGUCAAUUCUUUUACAGAAGCAAUUAAUACAUUAAUGGCAUUAAUCACUACAUCAUGCUUCUCCUUGCAGUCUUGAUAUUUGCAUCCAGAACAUUCAUUGGGAGAGGCAAAAUUUGUAUAACCAGUAUGAUCAUACUCAUAAUGGUUUGUUUUAAAUACUGUAAGAGGAGUAUCAUAAGCACCAACAGUAGCACAACUAUCACCAUCAACAGCUCCAUCACCACUAAGACCAUCAACAACAAUAAGCCCACCCUCCAAAAUUAUUUUUAUUCUAAUGGUUGUUGCUCCAAAUAAUUCCAUUUUUAUUUUGUCAAUGACCUUAGGGUCCGAUAAAGUUUGCACAGACCGUAAAGUAAAAAGAAUGGCAUCUUCAACUGUCGAUUGGUAGGAACUAGCGACGGAUGCAGAAUCUAACAUAAAUUAUUACAUAUAUUAAAAUGAUAAUUAGAACAUUCAAAAAAACAUUAAUUAAAAUAAAAACUUAAUUAUAAUUAUACUUACUGUAUCCUUCGGAGGGGUGAAGUGAUCAAGAAUUUUGCAUUUUUAUCAGUUUUGGCCGACAACCAUCUCAAGAAUCUUGGACAGGAAACUUCUUCUUGGUAGUUCACUUGUUGUCUUAAAUAAGGAAUGGCUUCAAACACCCAAGACUAUAAAAUAACAUCAUUUAAUCAAAACCAUUAUUGAGUAAAAAAAUAAAUGAUAUCAUAAUAAAAGAAAGAAACAUUUACCAUGAAAUCCCAUGGAAAGCUAUAUAAGUUGACUGUCUUUGGCGCUAACGGAGUCAACAAAUAUUUGACAGUCAUUUUGAAGCUUUCAUAACCCAAGGAUAGCUGUUAAACGCCUCAAGAUCCUUGAAGAGAUUUAUUAAGCUAACGCUUAUAUUGUUGUUAACGUCUCUCGCCCAAAGAAUAUUAUGUACCAACCAAACCAAGCACAAUGACUUCUUGUGCUUCUUUGAAAUUCUUUUACCUUUCAACGUUUCUAUCAAAUUUUUAUUUUUGAAACUUGAUCCAACAAUGGACACCAGGUCAUCACGAUCACACGACUUGCCUUUGCCAUUUUUUGGUGUGUGGGGUGCUUUUUGGGGUUAAAAUUGGUAUAACAUGAGAAGGAAAAAGAGAAAAACAUUUUAGUCUAGGAACUAUGGCAAACUCCUUUCAACCAAAACAAACAGGCAUGCCACAGUAAUUUAUACACACCUCAUCCAUAUUAUCUUUGUUUUCAUACAUAAAUCUACGCUUGAGAAGUUCAUAUGCCAUUUUUAUUUGAAAACGAGCAUUGUUGUCCUCCGCCAAAUCAAGAUAUUUCCCAAAGCAGCUGUCUCUUAAAUAAGCAUCCAAUUUUUAUUCUUGAAGUAUUUUUUUGAAGGUGUUGAAAGAUUUUCCCAUGGCUGACUUAACCACGAAAUCACCCAUUAAAUCUAUGGCACCAUCGCACUGCAUUCUCACAAGAUAAUGAUCAAUGCUAAAAUUUUUGACCAACUCUUCGGUGGAAGGGCUAUUAGAAUUUGGAUCAUCUCUUUUGAAACAUUUUUUCUCCCCGUGUUCAUUAUAUUCUGCUUCCAAUUAAGAUAACGCUUGUAAAGCAAGCUCAUAGAGUGGUGGAUGUAGCCUAGCUGCUUCACUUGUUCCUUUACUUGGACUUGAUUCGGUUUCUAUUCUUUUGGGAGCCAUAUUAUCUAAAAUUAACAGGAACAUAAAAAUAUAUUAUAGUUGAUUAAUGCAUCAUUAAAAAGGGAUAACAAUAUAUCUAACGUACAAAAUAGUAAAUCACACAUUUGUUACACUAGGUAGGUUAUCUAUUGUACCAAAUAACUAACCUAUUGCAAUGGAUGAGUAAUCUGUUACAAUAAUACAAAAUAUAUCACUCAUUUUUUAAGAUAGAUAAAUGGUCUAUACAAUAGAUCACACAUCUGUUACAAUAUAUGAGUGAUCUAUUGGAACAGUUAAAUAACCUGUUGCAACUGAUGAGUAAUCUGUUGCGAUAAUAUAAAAUAUAUCACUCAUCUAUUGAGAAAGAUGAAUGAUCUGUGCAAUAGAUAAUAUAACUAUUGCAAUAUAUGAGUGAUCUGUUGGAACAGUUAACUAACCUGUAGCAACAACUGAGUAAUUUAUUGCCACAAUACAAAAUAUAUCAGUCAUCUAUUGAGAAAGAUGAAUGGUUUGUGCAAUAUUUCACACAUCUAUUGCAACAUAUGAAUGAUCUAUUGAAAUAGUUAUUAAUGAUCAAUAUUUUUUAGAUUUCUUCCAACAGAAGGGCCGUCUAUCGCGACAAAUAAAUGAUUAGUAAGAAAAAUCAAGUCUUGGACAUAUCCUGUUGGAAGAGUUGAUAGGAUUUUAUCUAAUAGGAGGUUCAUCUGUUGCAUCAGAUCUUUAAUCAGAUGGUUCAUCCAUUGCAUCAGAUGAUUAAUCUACUGCAUCAGAUUUUUAAUCUAAUGGUUCCUCUGUUGCAUCCGAUAGUAAAUUUGUUGCAUCAGAUGGUUAAUCAAUUGCAACAUAUGCUUAAUUUAUUGCAUCAGAUAGUGAAACUAUUGCAUUAGAUGGUUAAACUGUUGCACCCUAUGCUAAAUCUGUCAUAUCAUAUUUUUAUCUGAUGGUUCCUCUGUAGCAUCAGAUAAUUAAUCUGUUGCAUUAGAUGGUUAACCUGUUGCAUUAAAUAUUUAACUGUUGCAUCAAAAUUUUAAUUUGAUGGUUCCUCUAUUGCAUCAUAUGGUUGAUAUUUUGUAUUAUAUGUUAAAUUUAUUGCAUCAAAUGGUUAAUAUGUUACACCAGAAAGAUAAUCUGUUGGACAAAAAAAUAGUAGCACGAUUUUGUUCAAUAGAACAAUAGAAAUAUCACCAUUUUUCCCAAGAAUAAGAACAAAUCAACCUAUCAAUGGCACAACAAAUUAAACUUCAAACUCGAACAACAUAAGAGAAGAGAAGAAAAAAGAAGAGAAGAGAAGAAAUACCAGAAAUUAAAAUUUUAUUCAAACCGCAUUUCAAAUUAAAGCAACAAAUAUUAAAAUUGUUAACCAAUACUAUAAGAGAAGUUGGGUCAAGUUCCUCAUUUUCUUCAAAGCUAAAAAGGCCAUAAUUUUUUACCUAUGAAAGAAAAAAAAGAACGAUGAAUAAUUCGAAUUUGUUGUGGCCGGAGAGCAAGGCUAUCAUGUUGAUUGAUGGUUGAAGUCGAAAAAGAACUUGAAUCCCAACUAUUUUUCGUUGGAGGUUGAAGUCGACGGAGAUUUAAAGAAAAAUUUUACAGAACUGUUGGUUGAGAGAAGUUGUCGAGAGAGGGGAGAGAGACAAUUGAUGAUUUGGAUUGAAGAGGGGUGUGGGUUGGGUUGAUUUAUAUUUUUGAAAAGAUUAGAAAGUUUUAAAAAUAUUAAUCAAUUCCACAAUUAAGUUAAUCAACUUUCCUAAUUAUGUUUGACCCUUUAAGUUGGUCAAUGUCACCAAUUCUUCAUUCAAGACUUAAAAGAUACCUUUCCUUUAAUUUUCUCAUCUAAGCAUUAUACCACUUAAAUUGAAAUAGAAGAAAAUGUUUUAUAAAUCACAAUAAUUAAAAACUUAAAUUAUUUUAAAAAAAUAUAAUUGACUGUUAAUGUCACAGAAGUUUAGACAAGGAGAGUAACAUAUAUUAUUUGAAAAUAACAAAUUCUAUUUGUAUCGCAUAAAUUGAAAUUAAAAAAGAGGAAAGUGCAGAAAUGGCACUUUAGAUCAAAUAAAUUCCACGAAAAUGGCCAUGAAAUUUAAAUUUUACUUUCUAGCCAUUUCAAUUUUCUGGCUUGUUCUGUACAGUGUCUACACACCUUCUAUAUAGUUUCUAUACAUAUCUUAUACAUAUAAAUAUUCUAUACUAAAAUUAUAUAGUUUCGAUACACAAUUUAUAUAAUAACUGUACAUUUUUUUACACAUUUUAUACAAUAAUUAUGCAAUGUUUAUACACUUUCUAUAUAUUUUUUAUAUAUUUUUUAUAUGUAUACAUAUUCGAUAGAACUAUACAAUUUUUAUACAUAUAUCUUAUAGACAUAUAUAUUCUAUAUAACAAUUAUACCGUUUUUAUAUAAUUAUAUUUAAUUAUUAUUUUUAAACAACUAAAAAGCAGAAUAUUUUUUAGUUAAAAAAUUGUAGCAAAAAAAAACUGAAAAUAUUUUUAGAAAAGGACCAAAUGACCCAAGUUGAAAACUCUAUCAGUAUUAUUGUAUAUGGACUGUAUCAAUAUGGUAUAUAAACUGUAUUGAACUACAUGGGCCAAAAUGACCCAAAUUGAGAAAGAAUAGGAAAUGACUAUUAUGUGGCAUUAGUAUAUCCGACAGGACAUUUUAUGUCCAUAGGCCUAAACUUGGCUAUUUUUUGUAAAAAAGGUCUAUACCAUGUCUUUUUUCCAAUAAAAAAUAACAUAUACUGAGUCUGUGUUAUCUAAAAAAUAGUAACAUAGGUUCAUCACACUCUUAUUAAUUAUAAAUUUGUAGAGUUUAAUUUUGAUCGUAACUUAAAAUUUUGAAAAAAAAUUAUAUAAUUGAAUAAUAAAUCACAAUAAUUGAUAAUUUAAAAUAUUUUAAGAAUAUAUCCAAAAAUUAUCUUGAAAAAUAAAUUUAUUUAAAUUUCAAAAUUUAAAAGAUGUUACAUUAAUUAAUAUAAUUAUUAUCAUAAUAUUAAUUUAGGAUGGAUUUUAGGCCCGCGAGAACUUCUUCUAACUAGUAAUAGAAUACGAUAAAGAUAAGAAUCAUGAGAAAAUUGAAGGAAAGGUGUCAUUUAAGUCUUGAAUGUAAGAUUGAUGACAUUGACCAACUUCAAAGGUCAAACAUAAUUCGAAAACUUGAUUAAAUUAAUUGUGGACCUUAUUAAUACUAUCAAAACUUUCUAAUCUUAUCAAAAAUACAAAUCAACCCACACCCUUCUCCUUUCAAAAUCAAUCGUCUCUCUCCUCUCUUCCCUCUCUCAAUCUCGAUUGUUUCUCUCAAACUUUUCCCAACCAACAGUUCUAUAAAUUUUUCCCAUCAAUCCCCGACGACUUCAACCUCUCGGUGAUAAAUAGUUGAGCUUUGAGUUCCUUUUCGACUUUUAACUGUCAAUCGACGUGACAACAUUGCUCUCCAACAAUAAUAACUUCAAGUUCUUCAUCGUCCCUUUUCUUCUUUCACAGAUAAAAAAUUAGGGCUUUUUAGUUAUUAAGAAACAGGGGAACUUGAGCCAACUUCUCUUCAAGUAUGGGUAAACAAUUUCAAUAGUUAUUGCUUAAAUUUAAAAUGAGGACGGAAGAAAAACCUAAUUUCUGAUAUUUCUUCUCUUCUCUUCUCUUCUCUUCUCAUAGUAAAAUAUAAUUUUUUGUUGUUGUUAUGGUUCUUGUUAUCGAACUAUUGAUUCGGUCUGUUGGUGUCUGUUGAGUUUUUGAAGUUUGAUUUUUAUCGUUUGUGUUUGUACAAACAAAACAACAAUUUUGGUGAUUUUGGUCACAGUUGAUGUUCUUGGUGUUUGUGUUGUGUUGGUGUUGCUGGGUUGAUUUGUUGUUGUUCUUGGUAAAAAUAAUGUAUUUGGUAUUAAAUGGUGAUAACGUUUUUGUUCUAUUGAACAAAAUCUUGCCACUAAUUUUUUUUAUAACAGAUGCACCAUUUGAUGCAACAGCUGAACCAUAUGAUGCAAUAAAUGAAUUAUCUGUUGGAUGAAAUCCUAUUAACUAUUCCAAUAGGAUGACAUGUCUAAGACUUUGAUUUAUCCCAAUAGAUAAUUCAUUUGUUGUAACAAAUGAUGCUUCUGUUGAAAGAAAUCUAAACAACAUUUCAGCAAAUGAGUGAUCUGUUGAAAGAAAUCACAACAGUAUAUAAACUAUUUAUUAUUUACAACAUAUUACCCAUCUGUUGCAACAGGUUAGUUAUAUAUUGCAACAAAUAACACAUAUAUUGCAACAUAUGUGUGAUCUGUUGAAACUGUUAUUUUACUGUGUUGUACAUAUUAGAUUUAUUGUUAUAUUUUUUUAACGAUGCUUUGAUCAAUUAUAAUAUUUUUUAUUUUCUUGCUAUUGUUAGAUAAUAUGGCUCCCAAAAGAAAAGAAACUGAAUCAAGUCCAAGUAAAGGGACAAGUGAAGCAGCUAGGCUACAUCCACCACUCUAUGAGCUUGAUCAGAAGCAAAAGAUAAUGAACACGGGGAUGAGGAAUGUUUCAAAGGAGAUGACCCAAAUGCUAAUAACCCUUCCACUAAAGAGUUGGUCAAAACCUUCAUCAUUAAUAGUUAUCCUGUGAGAAUAUAUUGUGAUGAUGCCACAGAUUUAACUGGUGAUUUUGUGGUUAAGUCAGCCAUAGAAAAUCUUUUGAAACCUUUAGAAAAAUGCUUCGAGACCAAAAAUUGGAUGCUUAUUUCAAGUAUAGCUGUUUUGGACAAUAUCUUGAUUUGCCAGAGGACAAUAAUGAUUUUCAAAUGAAAUGAUAUAUAAUCUUCUCAAGCGUAGGUUUAUAUAUGAAAAUAAAGAUAAGAUGGAGGAGGUGUGGAUAAAUUAUUGUGGCAUGCCUGUUUAUUUUGGUUGGAAGGAGUUUGCCAUAGUUGCCUGACUAAAAUAUUAUCCUUCUUCUCCUUCUCAAGUAAUACCUAUUCUAACCCAAAAAAAAGCACCUCGCACACCCAAAAAAGGAAAAGGCAAGUCAAGUGAUAGUGAUGACUUGGUGUCCCUUGUUGGUCCAAGCUUCAAAAACAAAAAUUUGAUUAAAGCGUUGAAAGGUAAAACACUUUAAAAGAAGCACAAACAAUCAUUGUGCUUGGUUUGGUUUGUACAUAAUAUUUUUUGGGCGGGUGACAUUAACAACAUACCACUUGGUUUAAUAAAGCUCUCCGAGGAUCUUGAGGCAUUUAACAUCUAUUCUUGGGUUUAUGAAAGCUUCAAAAUGACUGUUAAAUAUUUGUUGACUCCGUUAACGCCAAAGACAAUUAACUUAUAUGGAUUUUCAUAGACUUUCAUGGUAAAUAUUUCCUUUAUUAUUAUUCAUUUAUUUUUUAUUGAAUAAUGCUUUUAAUUUAUUGACUUUAUUUUAUAGGCUUGGGCAUUUGAAGUCAUUCCUUAUUUGUGACAAUAAGUGAACUACCAGUAGUAAGUUUCAUGUCCAAGAAUUCUGAGAUGGCUGUCGGCCAAAACUGAUAAAAAUGCAAAAUUUCUUAAUCUCUUAAACCCUCAGAAGAAAGCAGUAAGUCUAAUUCUAAUUAAGUUUUUAUUUUAAUUAAUGAUUUAUUUAAAUAAUUUAAUCAUCAUUUUAAUAUAUGUACUGAUUUAUUUUAGAUCGUGCAUUCAUGGCUUGUUCCAACAAAUCGAAAGUUAAAGAUGCCAUUUUUUCUUACUUUGCGGUUUGUGAAAAUUUUAUCGGACCCUAAGGUCAUUGAUAGAAUAAAAAGGAAUUGUUUGGAGCAACAACCAUCACAAGAAAAAUAACAAUUUUGAAGGGUGGGCUUGUUGUUGGGUAUGAUGUUAGUGGUGAUGGAGUUGUUGGUGGUGGUAGUGGUGCUGUUGUUAGGGCUAAUGAUACUCCUCUUGCAGUUUUUGAAACAAUAAACCAUUAUGAUUAUGAUCAUACUGGUUUUACAGAUUUUUCCCCUCCUAGCAAAUGUUCUACAUGCAAAUGCCAAGACUGUAAAGUGAAACAUGAUGGAGUGAUUAAUGUUAUUAAUGAAUUAACUACUUAUGUAAAGAAAUUGAUAUCUAAAAGGGGUGUCAUUCCAUCAAAGAGGAAUUCAUAUCCAUACACUCCAUUAGAGAUUAAGGUGGCUAAGAGGAGGAGGGAAGAAAUUUCAAAAGCAUCAUCAAGCAUCGAAAAAAGCAAAAUUGCAACUCCACUAUCUUUGUCUUGAACUUUUGAUCAAUGUACAAGGGCCACAGAAGAGCAGCAUGAGCCGAAGAAGGUGAAUAUAUAUCAUCUGUUCCAACAAACAAAUAGACUAUAUAUCUUUUGCAACAGAUGACAUAUCUGCUGAAAAUAAUCAAACAAAUAUAUCCAUCUGUUGCAACAGUUGACUAACUUGUUGCAUCAGAUGUAUUAUUUGUUGCAUCAUAUGUCUUGUCUAUUUUAAAAAAUCAAACAAGUCUUCCUACUAUUUUAUUUUGUACCAACAGUUGAUCAAUCUGCUGUAAUAGAUAUUUCAUCUGUUGGGAUAAAUUAAAUCAAGACUUUCUACUGUUUUAUUCUAUCCAAAUAGAUGAGUCAUAUGUUGCAAUAGAUGGGUCAUCUGUUGGAAAUUAUCAUACAAUUCUUCUCUUAUUUUAAUUUGUCCCAACAAAUAAUCCAUUUGUUGCAACAGAUAAGUAAUCUGUUGGUAUAAUUUAAGAUAAGAGGAAGACCUGUUUGAUUUGGUAAAACAUAUGAGAUAUCUUUUUUUUGUUUUUUUGUAUCUCUGUGAUUAGCAUUGACAAUUCUGGCUUUCCAGGUGAAUGUCACAGUAGAAGCUACUGGUGAACAACAUAAUAUCACAGUUGAUAAUCAAUUAACUACUUCCAAAAAUGAAUAAAACAUGAAGUCUAUCAGUCCAUAAGAACGAAGAAUUACCCGUUUGAAGGGUUCAACAUCUUGGAUGAGGCUUCAAAAAAACUAACAAAGUUGAUCGACGACUAUUCAGAAUUGAUUGCCAAUAGGCUGUUAAGGCUUCAUACCAACAGGUACAUAAAUCAUUUUUAAAGAUAUUGAUUUAUACAAUUCUUGUCGCAAGAACGUGACAUUAACACAUAUAAAUCAUGCAAAAAAUAAAAUGACAAACACUACAAAGUGAACGAAUUGGGUCUUGGUUUUGAUAUGUUCAACUUUAUUAUUGCACAUUUCAGAACGAAUAAUUAGUGUCACGUAAUCUGUAAUGUUUGAUAAUAUGUUCAACGCAUCAAUGUCAUUUUUACUACCUUCGAAAAAAGGCCAAGUUGCAAACACAAGAAUAAUACAGAUAUAUAAUAGCUAAUUAUUUGUUCAAAGUUUAUAUCAAUAAUGCCUAUGAUAGGUAUUGUCAAUAACAGCCGAAAGUUUUCCGAAAUGAUGAAUGUUUAAUCAAUAUCACCAAAGGCUUUAGCAUUCUAGUCGGCUUACCUUGAUAUUUGGUCGACGAAGUGUACAUCCUAAUUAAUUGCGGUGAUAAAUUCCAUUGGGUGUUGGCUGUCGUCGCUCUAAAAGAGAGGCGCAUCCGAGUUUACCACUCGAUGUCGGGAAGGAGAUGAUCUGGGUCGUCUUCUGAGAUACAAAAGCUGGCCAAAAUAUUACCUACUUACCUGGAUAUAAGUGGCUUUUUGGACCAAAAGGUUCGUACUGAUUGAUCGACGAUUGAAGCAUAUCGGGAUAAAAUGGGCAAUCCAUUUGAUGUAGAAUAUGUUGAAGGAAUUGCUCAACAACCCAUUGGUAUCCUGUAAGUAUCAAUCAAGUAUCAUUAUUUAGUUUCAUUUCAUAAAUUUCACAACGCUUACAUUAAUUACAAGAUAUGGAUUAUCUGAUUUUUACAAACACAGAAAUUGCGAUUUUUUUGUUGCUGCUUACGUCGAGUAUUUAAGCGAUGGAUUAAAAAUACCAAAUGAUGGACUUGUAGUCGGAUUAAUCCAUAAAAGAUAUGCUACUCUUUCAUGAAAAUACGGUAAAAUGAAAGCUCAGAAAUCAUGCACAAGAGACAUUAAAGAUCUACGAUGACACAAGUCAAUUUUCAUAGCACCGGAUGAAGAACAACUUGUCCAUAUUGAGCAGAUCUUUACUAUCAAAAUAAUAACCUCUCCUUAAGAAUUGUUGGCAGCAAAAUUUAAAUUGUUGAUUUAUUUGAUAUGUAGAUCAUAUGUAACCAUAACAAUUUUUUUACAAUUUUAUUUAUUAGUUGAUUUAUUUCAUAUUAUUUCUAAAGGCUUCGAUUUAUUUUAUUUUGUCUAUGUUAUCCUUAUAUUUGAACUUAUUAAUUGAAAUGAAAUACUAGAUUCGAAUAUUGCAACAGAUAAUGCAUAUGUUGAAACAAACGACAUAUUUAUUGGAAAUUAUCAAAUAGAUUUGGACAUAUGUUGCAACAUGCAGGUCAUAUAUUGGAAAUUAUCAAACAGGUCUUCCUACUAUUUUGAUUUGUUCCAAUAGAUGACCUAUCUGUUACAACAGAUAGACUUAGAUAUAAAUAUUUGCAUAAUGCAAUAAAUGACCAAUCGAUUACAACAAAUAAACUAUCUGUCAGAAAAGAUAGACUAUCUGUUACAACUAAUAGACAAUUUGUUGCAUUAUAAAAAAUUUAAUUUACAUCAAAUAUAAAAAAAAUUAUCAUGAAAUAAAAAUUUCCAUGGUGUUUGUGUUUCUACAUCAUCUUUUUUAUACACAGGCUCUAAUAAUUUAGUUAGUACGCCAUAAGCCCAGACCUCUUGCAUCCUUGCCACAAUAUUGUCGCACAGAAAGGCCGUUGGGUUGGACAUUUUUGUGCCGGUCAGCAAACAUUCGAUGUGUGCAAGUGCGUACGACUCGCAUGCGGCACCAAUUUUAUUUUUUGAAAUGUCCUUAUCCUUGUUUCGACCUCCAAAAUCCCAUGUUUGCUUCAACACUUUCGAUGGCAAAUAAUUUAUCAGUCUGCUCUACCUCAACAAGUUGGGGAACAAUGCCAAUAGUGGCUGCAUCUUGGUAAAACAAAUCCGCCUCCUAGAAGACAGGCAAGUUGCAGUCAUAAACCUUUAUCAUUCCCUCCUCGAGCAGUAUCUCAAAAGCCAAAAAAUAUUUUUUUUUCUCCAAGUUCAUGACUGUAAGAAUCCUCUUUGCUUUGGUCCAGUCUUAGCCAUAUAGAUAUGGCCUCUUCCCUCUAAUAUAAUUAAUCAUAUCUUCAUCCCAUUCGAACCCAGAAACUAACAAAUCAAAUCCCGGGCCACCGGGAGUUGACGCUAGCUUAAUGAGGUCAGUGUACCUAUCCUUAAAAUUAUUAUAGAAGUUGAGGUCCAUUAUCCUAUCAGCAGCAUCAUAAGCUUUCAGGUACGCUAAUUGCUUGCCCCUUAUGAGGUAGAGAAUUUCAUCAACAUACUGUGAUGUAAGAAGACAAUUUUUAAAUAGGUUAGUAAUUUUACAAAAGAAAAUCAAAGUGGAAAGAUUCAACCGAUGGUUUAUUUGUUGCACGUGAUUCUCUAAAUCUGUUAACAGAUUACCCAUCUAAUGCAACUUAUGCAACAGAUGGAUAAUCUGUUGCAACAGAACCACCAGUUACACCAGAAUACCCAGUUGUUGCAACAAAUAAUCCAUAUCUGUCAUCUUUUUCAUAGAGUAAUUAGAAGACUAGGUUAGAAAAAGUGAAAUUACUGUGUCUGUCAUACCCGACUUUUACCUAAGGUCAAAAUGAACACGACGUUAUGGACUCUAAUAGAAUUGAUUUUGUACAGAGUCGCCACCUAAUUUUUAAGGAAAAUAAGGAAACCUAUUUAUAUAUUAACAAGUAUAACUUUAUUUCAAUAUAAAAAAUCAUUUUAGAUUUCAGGUAAGGGUUCAAAUUAUUCUGAAGGGAAAGGGUUAGGCACCUUCAGAAUCCACAGAGGUGAUUCCCGGCCAGACUUGGAUUUAUUAAAAGAUAAAAGGAAAAAAAAAAGGUUUACAAAUAUAGCAUAUGUAUUGAAAUAAUAUAAUGUGUAUGUUGUCGUAAAAUAUAUAUAAACAAAAGUAUAUAAGUAUAUGUAUGUAAAGAAAAGACAAGAUUUGAAUAAAGAAAAAAUUGUUUUAAAGAAAAGGAUCACGAAAUAUUUUUUAGUCUAAAAAAUGUGAAUUAUUUGAUUAAAUAAUUUAUAAAUAUUUAAUAUAAAUAUUUAUGACCUAAAUUUGGCUAAAAUCAUGUUGUGGAUUGCAUAAAUAAAGACUAUCCCGCCCAACGCCUAAAAAAUAAAGUUUUUACUAUGAUUAAUAUUUGUGCAAUGAUAAGUAUGUAAGAAACACAAAUACGAAUAAUUCAAGAUUUUCUUUGAAUGUCAUUCCCGAAAAGUGUUCCCGAGAACCUGUACAAAUACUCACGGUAAAGAUGUUAGUAACAGAUCAAGAUAAAUUAAGAACUAUGUGUACAUAUAUAUAUAUAUAGAGAGAGAGAGAGAGAGAGAGAGAGAGAGAAUUUUUUAUUAAAAGCGGGCUCAAAUAAAGUUUUAAGAAAAUUAUAAAGAUUCCAUUAUUGCCCGAAUUUAUUUAUUUUAUUACAUAUUUAUAUACGUAAAAUUCAUCUUUUUAUUUGUGGAGGCCUCGAAAAUCGACGGAGAAUUUCUUCAUCGAUCAAAGUAGCAUAGUAUAGGUUUGUUACAGUGUAAUAAAAAUGUAAAAGGAGAAAAAGAUUUAAAAAAAAAGGAAAUUAGUUUUAGAAAGUGCAAAACCAACAACAAAUCAACUGUAAUAUAGCAAAUCAUGAAUUAAGUUGUCGGAGUAGAAUUACUCCGUCAAAUAUCAACAUGAAAUUACCAAACUAAUGUAAAAUUGCAAUCUAAGUAGUAGCAUAACAGUCAGUAAGUCAACCAAAAGUAAAGUAGGAAUAUUUAUUGGAGAACAUGAAGAUCUCAUUGCUAAACUCAAGUUCAUAUCAUACAAUCGUAAGAGAGAUCCAAAAGGUUGCUUCCACGAUGAGGAAUGUCAGAGAAACACUCCAACAAUAAUGACAAAUUUGGCCAAAUCUGAAAUGGUAAAUCAAGAGUAACACAAUUAAAAUUUGAGGCAAGUAAGAACUCAAACACCACUACUGCUUUAAUAGCGAUGGAAGUCCAGGGUAGUGCGUUUCUCGGCCAAGUUUGCUAAAGGGAUGAGAGAAGAAAAAGAGGUAGCACCGGCAGUGGUGGCUUCGGAGCUCACUCAUUGGCGAUCAAUUCUGACAUGGCAUGACAAAAGAGGGGGAGAAAGGAUAGCACGUCUGAGGCUGCCGAUAUUGAUAUUAUUUGUCGGUCGUCCAGUGGCCAAAUCUGAUAACGGUAAUGGGAAGAGGGUAAAGAGAAAGAUGGGCGACUGGUUGCUGGUGUUGCGAAGCUCACCCACUGACGAUUAACUCCAUCGAGGCAUGACAGUGGUAAAGGGAGAGAGAAGGAGGUAUGAGAUGGAGAGAGAGAAAGAAAGGCACAUCUCUAUGUGUAUAGCACAUCUCUAUGUGUAUACAUUACUAUAUGUAUGUGUGUUGUAUUAAUUUAUUUUGUGUUUUCUAAGAGAAAAGAAAAUAAAAUUUGUGUAUGGGGUAGUUGAAAAGAGAAAAAAUAUGUGUGUAUUUUUUUAUGUAUUUUUGGGGAAAAAUAGAAAAGGAGGGGAGAUUUUCUUUUGUGUGUGUGUGUCUAUUGUGCAUGUAUUUGAGAAACGAAAAAAUAUGUGUGGGUGUAUGAAAAUGUUUGUGUGUGAAUUUGUGUCUUCCCCUCACCUAUUUAUAAUAAAAUUGGACACCCUUUAUUAUUCAAAGGAUAAAAGGGUGUCCCUACUUUUUCUUUGAGAGCACCCUUUGGACUUUGGGUUAUUGACCAAAGGAUUUUCAUCCUUUUAACCAACAUACAAAGCUAUUGUCCAAAGGGUAAUGUCAUUAAGUUGUCAUUUUCAGAUGUGACAAGACAUUAUUGUGUGGUCGUUGUUGAAUGUAACAAGACAUUAUUAUGUGGUCGAUGUCGUAUGUGACAAGACAUUAUUGUGUGGUCAUCGUCAGAUAUGACAAGACAUCAAAUUAUUAUAAUAUGUAUUAAAAUAGUUGAUCCAACUCAGUUUUUGCGGGUGUAAUAAAUGUACAAAAAUGUAUGUAUUGAUAUGCAAUUACAGAAAAUAUAAAAAAUAUAAUUAAGAGAUAAUACCCAAUUACCACCCUGAACUAUACCCAAAAAGGCUAUGACACACCUCAACUUAAAGGGGGUCCUAUUACCCCCUGAACUAAUUAAAAGUGUAAUUUUGACACCCUUAGUGCCUACGUGGUGCCUACUGGCACAUACGUGGCACAACACACUGAAGUGUCCAUGUAGGCACACGUGUGUGCCACGUAUGUGCCACAUAGGCACUAAGGGUGUCAAAAUUACGGGUAAUAGGACUUCCUUUAAGUUGAGGUGUGUCAUAGCCUUUUUGGGUAUAGUUCAGUGGAAUAAUUGGGUAUUUUAUCUAUAAUUAAUUUUAAAAUAUUAUUAAAAUGUGACAUUAUGUCGUGUGUGCAGAUGAUUGUAAAAUGUUAAAAAUGAUAAUGAAUUGAUAAAAAUUCUAAAGUAAGGAUAAUUAUUAAUAAUUUGUCAACAAUUGUAAAAAAAAUGUAAAAAUUAUAUUUUUGUGCCCUUUAACGAUCAGGAAGCUCGAAGACAUUAAUUUUAAGCACGGAGAGCCAAAAUUGGGUGUCAACAGUGUCCACUACCACUGAUCCAUAUCUGCCACCUUUUUGAAGUCCUGGGGAAAAGGUAUUCAUGGUGAAGGUUUUUAUACGUUUCUUGGAAUUUAUUGUCUUUCUCAGAACAACCUUCUAUUUGGAAUCAAGUUCCAAAUAUAUGUCCACCCUCUUCAAUAGUCCCUGAACUUCAACAUCUUUUGGAGAGAAAGGAGUUGCAAUGUUUUUUGGUUUCAUAAUUAAGAGUAUAUGUUUAAUUUCUCUUUUCUUCUUCCUAACCGCCACUGUAGGAGUGUAUGGCGCACUCACCUUCUUGGAUGGUAUAACACCCCUCUUUGAUUUUAAUUUCUUGACUGAUUUAGCGAUAGCCUCUACUUUUUCAAAGAGUUUAUCCUGUCUGUCCAUGCACUCGUUGUAUUACAAUGAGAAUAUAAGGGUGAAAAGGGGUGAGAGGGACCACUGUAAGGGGUAGAGGGACCGGUGUAAGGGUAAGAGGGACCAGUGUAAGAGGUGAUUUAAAACAUAUUUAUUUUUUCUUGAACAUCAAUAUGCUCAUCAUCAUGACUGGCAGCAGCAACAGCAUGGCUGCCACCAAUAUCAACAACUUCACUAGCAAUACUCCCAAAAGCAGCACCCGAAUCUGUUGCAACAUGUUGGUCAUGAAGAGCUUCAACAUUAGCCUAACCUUGUCUAACUGCCCUUCUUAUGGUUAUUGCUUCAGCCAAUUCCUUCUUUAUUAACUCCACCGUUGGGUCUGUGAUGGCAUCAAAAAGACCUAAAGUAAUAAAUAAAGUCAUUCCCAACUCCUGUUGAGUAAGCACGAUCCAUGGAUGUACAACCUAAAAUAAAGGGUGGAUGCAUUUAAAUCAAAUAAUAAUUUGCAGUCGGUUGGGUAAUGUGUUAAUACAAACAACAUAUGUAACAGAUGAUAUUUAUGGUGCAACAGAUAAUUCAUAUGUGGCAACAGAUUAACCUUUUGUUGCAUCAUAUUACCCAUAAGUUGCAAUGGAUGGGUAAUCAAAAAAGUUUGGUUUAGAGAACCAAAGCAACAAAUGGUUAAUUUGUUGUGAAAAAUGACUUAUCUAUCGCAACAGAUUAAUAAUAUGAUUCAUCAAAUGGGUAAUCUGUUAAGAUAAAUUGUAAUAGAUUACCAAUCUAUUGUAAUAUAUAAAUCAUCUAUUUCAAUAUCUUUCUUUGAUUCAAAUUAUUUUACUUGAAAGAAGACUUACUGCAUUAUCCAGAGGGUUAAAGAGAUCACCCUCCUUAAUUCUUAUAUUGCUCUUUGCAACCAAUCGCCAAAGUAUCCUUAGAUGAGAAAUCUCAUCCGAGUAAUUCUUGACCUGCUUUUGGAGGGAAGGAAUGACUUCAAAUGCCCAAGCCUAAAAAUGUAAACAGGAAGCAAACCAAAAUAAGUCAUAAUAAUUAUUUAAUAUAAACUAAUGCAAAAGUAUAAAAAUAGUGAUUAAAUUUACCAUGAAAGCCCAAGGAAAGUCGUACAAGGUGAUCAUCAUUAGGGAUGGAUUUGUCAAUAAAUAUUUAACAAACAACUUAUAGUUGUCAUAUCCCCAGGGAUAAUUAUUGAAUUUCUUAAGAUCCUCAACAAGCUCCAACCAAUCAUCUUCUAUGACUUUGUUGACGUCUCUUGCCAAUAUAAUGGAAUGGGCAAACCAAACCAAGCACAGGUUAUUUUUGUACUUCUUUGGUAUGGCUUUAUCCUUAAGAUGUUGUAACAACAUCGUGGCUCUGUAGCCACGUCCAUCAAUGUCCAAAAACUCCUCCAUUUUUUUCUUAUGUUUGUUGGUUUUGGAGGGUGGUCGCUUAGACAAUGCCUUGCCUUUAUUUGAUGGUGGUGGCUUGGAUGUCCUACUUACCUUUAAAUUUUUGUGGGUUGCUUCCUUGAUGAAAGGUUCUUUUGGACGAUCGUAUCUCAAGCCUGUCACUAUGGCAAACUCUUGCAUGCUAAAACAAAUUGGCAUGCCAUAGUAGUUGACCCAGAUUUCAUCCAUCUUUUUGCCUUCCUCCUUCAAAUCUUUAUCAUCUCCACCGUACUUGAUCCUGUACUUGAGAAGACCAUAUACUAUGCUCAUUUAGAAACAGGCAUUAUUGUCUCAAGAAAGUGUCCAAAACGCUCUUCUUAAAAAAUUUCUCUAGUGUUUCAUUCUUCAUAGUAUCCCUAAAUUCAUCAAAAGGUUUUACCAACUGAGAUUUGACUACAAAAUCACCAGCUAGUUCAGUAGAGUUAUCUAUCGGUAUCUCAACUUGAAACUUGUCAAUACUAAUAGUUUUGACAGGAUCAUGCUGGGAUUUUGAUCUUAAUUCACGCCCCAUUGGCGAUGCAUUAUCAUCAUCAUCUUUCUCACUUUCUAUUUCCUCCUCUUCUUGUUUAUCUUUUUCUUCUUCCUCCUCACUUUUUUUCCUCGCCAGCCUCUACAUACCCUUCUCUACCUCUCUCAAUAUCAUUUUCAAAACUUUUCACGACUUUACUUUUCCCUAACUGAGAUUAUUCAGGAUGUUCCUCUAAAUCCAUUUGUACUCGAGUCUUUUUUGCUAAGUGAUCAGAAGUUGAUUCACUUUCAGUUUCUUUUCUUUUGAAGACAUCUUUUAAUACAAACAACAGAAAAAAUAAAAACUACAUUACAAUUGAUGUCUGCAUAAUUUGAAAAAAAAUUUAAGACAGAUUUUAAUAAUUUUUUAUACACCACAUUACAAAAAAAUAUUCUAGUCGAUAACCCAUCCGUUGGAACAGAUGAAUCAUCUGUUAUGACAGAUGCGUAACAUGUUGCAACAAAUGAACAAUCUGAUGAAUGAGAUCAAAACAGUCUUGCUACUGGCUUGUCUUAUGCCAACAACUGAAACAUUUGUCGAAACAGAUGGGGAAUAUGUUUAAAGACCUAUGUUAAUAUCUCCCAAUAGAUGUUCCACCUGUUGUAACAGAUGAACCACCAACACUAAUGCCACCACCACCAUCACCACCAUCACUAUCACCAAGACCACCAACACAACCACUAAGACCACUAACACCAACACCAAUGCCACCAAUAUCGACAACAAGACCACCAACCCAACCAAUACCACCAACACCACCACCAAGACCACUAACACCACUACCACAACCACCACUACCAAGACCAUUAACAAGACCACCAACACCACAGUCAACACCAUCCUAUAAUACCACGAAGUCAAUGAAACACUAUAAUAAAAACUAGGAUUUUCUUGAGUUCUUCCUACAUUUUUAGCAUCAAAACUCUAAAUUGUUAAUCCAUUCUCGAAGAUAAUGUAAUUAAAAGUGUUCUUUUUCUUCAUUAACUAAAAAGUCAUAAUUUUUAUAUAAAAAAAAAACAAAUGUAGAACUCUUCUCGAACUCUGUUACCUGUAAAGACAGAGAAAACAAUGAAUACAAGUAAGAAUGAAGUAAAAAAUAACAAUUAUAUGGUGUGAAAUGGGAAGAAAAUUAAUCUAUUGUGAAGGGUUGAGCAACAUAUUGAGUAGUUGUUGGUUGUAUUAUUGAGAGAGAAUGAAAAGAGAGAGAACUCAAGAUUUGAAAUGAUGAAAUGAUUUUCUCGCAAAUGGAUGAUUUGUAUGGGUUGAUUUGUAUUUUUAAAAAGAAUGAUAAGUUUUGAAAAUGUUAAUUUGGUUAGAAUUGAUCUUAAUUAAUUUUUUAAAAGAGAUAAAUUUUAACCAUUUCAUCAUAAUAAACUGUAUUAAGUUUAACCGAAACACUGAUGAAUUUAAUGAUAGCUUAAAUAAUAGCUUGAUAUGAAUUGUUUCAACUCAUAUUUAUUGAUUGAUGACUCAAGUCAGAAGGAACGCAAUACCAACAUCAUGCAAUUGCAACGACUCAAUUGAAAUUGUAGUUGAUCCUAUGAACUCAUCCCUAGUUCUAGAAAAAUUAAUUUAGGUAUUUCAAACAAUGGCUUGAUAUGAAUUGAUUCAACUCAAAUUGAUCGAUUGAUGACUUAGGUUAGGAGGAACGCAAUACCAAUAUCAUGCAAUUGCAAAAACUUAAUUGAAAUUAUAGUUGACCCUAUAAACUCAUCCCUUAUUCUAGCAAAAUAGAGUUAGGUAUUUCAAAUAAUGGCUUGAUAUGCCUCAUUUCAACUAAGAUUGAUUGAUUGAUGACUCAGAUCAGGAGGAGCACAAUACCAAUAUCAUGCAAUUGCAACGACUCAAUUGAAAAUAUAGUUGACCCUAUGAACUUAUUCUUAGUUCUAGCUAGGGGUGUACAGACCAAACCGCCAAGUCAAACCAAACCGACGAACCAAACCAAACUGAGAAAAAAAAUCGACUUAUGGUUUGGUUUGAUUGGUUUGGCGUUAGAAAAAAAUGACCAUUCUUGAUUUGGUUUGGUGUUAACCAAAAAAAAGUCAAACCAAACCCGAAUCAAACCGACAUAAUAUAUAUAUAUAUAUAUAUAUAUAUAAUAUUCGAACUUUUUUAUACAUAAAAUAUUAAUUAGAAUCCACUUUUGAAUACUUUUUCAACUAGUUUUAGUAAUUUUCAAUAAUUUGAAAGUAGAUGUAGAUAUAUAUUGGAAAAAAUACAUAAAGUAGCAUACUUAAGUAUUAAAUUACAAAAAAUAGCAACACUUUUAUCAAAUUACAUUUUGUAGCAUAUGUAUUUGUAUGUAUUUGUAUUUUUGUAACAACAGUUUGCAAAAAUACAAAAUACAUAUCGAUCAUAAGGGCAGUAAAAAAAUUAUACGUAUUUGUAUUUUUGUAGCAACAGUUUGUAAAAAUAUAAAAUACAACUUGCUAUAUUAUUUAAUUAUGAAACUGUUGCUAUGAAACUCAUAAUUAAGGGGAGUUGGAAAAAAUUUAGGCCUUUAAGUUGUAAUAUUUGUCCAUUAAUUGCUAAUUAAAUAAUCAAAAAUCCAAUAUAAACAUAAAACCUAAACUUUGCACUCUUCAUCUCACUUUUUAGUUUCAAGAGAGUUUUUCGCUCCCCAUUUUUUCAUAAUUGUGGUUUUUCAUUAGCACAUGAGUGAAAAUAUAUUUGAUCUAGUCUUCGACCACAAUAUAAUUGUAAAAACUAAAGAUUAUUAAAAAAAAGCUGAAAAGAUCAAAAAAAUUAACUGAAACCUAAACCGAAAAGAAUAAUUUUAUGUUGGUUUGAUUUGGUUUAUAGUUUUAAUAAACCGACAUGAUUGAUUUGAUUUAUUUUUAAUAAAAAUUGAACCAACCCAACCUAUGUACACCCCUAGUUCUAGCAAAAUCAAUUUAGGUAUUUUAAACAAUGGCUUGAUAUGAAUUGUUUCAACUAAAAUUUAUCGAUUGACGACUUAGGUCCGGAGGAACGUAAUACCAACAUCAUGUAAUUGCAAUGACUCAAUUGAAAUUGUAGUUGAUCCUAUGAACUCAUCCCUAGUUCUAGCAAAAUCAAUUAGUUAUUUCAAACAAUGACUUGAUAUGAAUCGUUUCAAUAUAAAUUGAUUAAUUGACGACUCAGAUUAGGAGGAACGCAAUACCAACAUCAUGCAAUUUCAUUGAUUCAAUUGAAAUUGUAAUUGACCCUAUGAACUCAUCCCUAAUUCUAGCAAAAUCAAUUUAGUUAUUUCAAACAAUGGCUUGAUAUGAAUCGUUUCAACUAAGAUUAAUCGAUUGACGACUCAGGUCAGGAGGAAUGCAAUAUUUCCAACAUCAUGCAAUUGCAAAGACUCAAUUAAAAUUGUAGUUGACCCUAUGAACUAAUCCCUAGUUCUAGUAAAAUCAAUUUAGUUAUUUCAAAUAAUGGAUUGAUAUGAAUCAUUUUAACUCAAAUUGAUCUAUUGAUGACUUAGGUCAGGAAGAAUGCGAUAUCAACAUCAUGCAAUUGCAAUGACUCAAUUGAAAUUAUAGUUAACCCUAUGAUCUCAUCCUAGUUCUAGCAAAAUCAAUUUAGGUAUGAAGUUGAACGUAUGAACUCAAUUGAAAUUAUACUAAAAUAGAAGCUUAACCUAUUGCAAUAGAUAACUUAUUUGUUGGAAAAUAUCAAACAGAUAAAAAACCUGCUGCCAUAGAUGAUUAUCUAUUGGAAAUUUUCAAACAGAUAGAGAAAUCUAUUACAACAGAUUACUUAUCUAUUAGAAAUUAUCAAAUGGACAUUUUCAUCAGUUGCAACAGAUGACUAAGCUGUUGAAAAAUUUUAAACAGAUAUUUAUAUCUAUUACAAUAGAUGACUUAUCUGUUUUAAGAUCUUUUUUUUAUUUUAAAGCAAUUUUUCUGUUUGAAAUAAAAAAAGAUAAACUACUAAGGCGAUAAAAAAUAUUUCUUAAAUAACUCAAAACUCUCCUCCUUGAGUUGUCAUUUCUUGUCUAUUCAAUGUCACCCGUCCCUCGUGUCCCUCAAAGUUAUUAAUGAAUAUUUAAACUCAUCUAUAUAAUUAUCUCUCCUUCAGCAAUAAAUUAAUUCAUCUUUCUUAUUUUUUCUCUCCUUUUUAGGGUAAUCACAAUAAUUUUUUUUCUCUCUUUUCUUUCUUCUCUCCUCUUUCGCAUGAGAAUCCUGUCGGAUCUCAACCAAUUUAUCUUUUAUCGAUUGAAAUUGGUGUUUUGAUCCCCUUGCUUUUGACAUUGCAGGUAUGGUUCACUAUUGCUCUUUCAUUCUCGUCUUUUUCUUUGCAUGUUAUUUAAAUUAGUUAUUUGCAUAUGUUGUUUUUAUUUAUUUACCUAAUACCUAUAUCCUAUUUAUUGAAAGAAUUAAAGGAAAGGUUCUUGAAUGAACAAACCAUUAUUUUUAUUAAAAUAUGCGAAAAAGUCAUCUAUUAGGAGAACUUAAAAAGCCUUAUUGGCAGUAUCAUUUUUUCUAAUCUCUUUUGUUUAUUUCUUUGUUGUUGAUAUUAUUAUUAAUGUUGUUGGUGGGGGUAGUGUUGUUGGAACGUGUGGUGUUGGUGUUAUUGAUGGUGUUGGAACAUAUGGUGUUAUUUUUUUAUUGUUGAUGCUGCUGUUAAUUUUGUUAUUGGUGUUGCAACAGAUUCCCCAAUUAUUGCAACUGAUAAAUCAGUUAUUUGAAUAAAUCCAACAACUCUUCCAAGAGAAGACCCAUCUGUUGCAACAUAUCGAUAAUCUGUUGCAAUAGAUUUAUAGCCUGUUACAACAGAUUACUUAUCUGUUGAACAAAAUGGGGAAUCAGUUACAACAGAUGAGUCAUAUGUUGGAACACUUGUUGUAAUGUGUUGUAUUUAUUUAAUUUUAUGUUGCCCUUUUUUAAAAUUGUACAAACAUCAAUUGUAAUGCUUUUCUUGUUCUUCUCUUGUUUGACAUCAAUUCUUUUUGUCUUGUUUGUAGAUAUAAGGAAGUGAAAGUUGAUCAACUUUUGCCCGACCAACAUAAAAGGCUAGAGUAAAGAUGGGUUAGGAGGAAUAAACUGCUUGCAGAUGGAACCACUUCAUAUGAGAGAGGUAUGUAUUAUUGAUCAUGUUAUCGUGAAAACACACAUAGAGUACACUGAUUUUGUGAAUAUUAUUUUUCAUUGAUUAGUCAUUGAUCAUUCAAAUAUGAUAUCUGUAAUUUUGCAGUUAAGUUUGAUAGGUCCAAACCGAUAAGGCUGAGGGACCCUGUAAGUGGUGUCGAUAACCUAUUACGGUUUAAUGAUGGUUUUGCAAAUGUUUAUGUGUCAAGUUUCGUAAAUGAAUCAAGUUUUGGUGGCAUUUUAAAAAAAUUCAAUAGUGAUUGGACUAAUUUUGAAGGUUCAAUGGACUUUUGAAAGGCCUCCGAAGCAUCACACUGCUGCAACCAAGAAUGAAAAUCAAAAUAGUUAUUGUCCUAGCCCAAUUUUAUAUGGUUGGGUUGCUUGGGGUGAUAACUAUACAACAGAAGGUACGGUAGAAGAAUACCUGUGAGGAAAAAAGGAGUUGAUAAAGAUUAUAUCAUCUCGAACCUUAUUAAAAUAGAAACACAGGGUACCAAGGAACGUGUAGCGAAUCUAGUCAAUGAAAUUAACUUAAAAUAUGAGAAAUCUGAAUCAAAUGCAAAUAUGAAAGUGUAUCAAAACAUGUAAAUCCGUCAGUCGUCUCUCUCAAAGAAAAAUAGUCUUGCUGGAUACUUUGCUAGGUAACUGCGACUAGUUAGAGUGGUCAAAAUGAUCAUCUCCAGAGAAAAUAACAGAACACCAAGGAAGCAACUUUGCGGACACCGUGGGUUGAAAUGCUGUACAUUAAAGACUGAAACUUGCACCAAGGAAUUCUGAAGUUGAAUUAAGAGAUAAAUCCAAGCCGGCAAUUUUAGAAGUUACACUUGCAUCCGAGGACUUCAGUUUGUGGUUCUGGUCAUGUCAGUCACAGUAAAAACAAAAAGGCUUGGGAUUUCUGCCCGACUUCAUACCUUUUUGUUUCCACUGCUAUUCACCUGAUCGAAACCACAAACAGAAGGCAUGGGAUGCAAUUUAAAAUUCAGAAAAAUGUCUUCUUGGCUUGAUUCCUUAUUUUAACUUCGGAAGUUCUUGGUGCAAAAUUUCAUUCUUUACUUACAUCAUUUCAAGCGUUGGUGCCCGCAAAGCUGCUUUUUUGGUAUUAUGUUAUUUUCUAUGUUGGUGAUCAUUUCGACCACGCUAACUAGUUGCAUUUCCCUAACAAAGUGUCCAGCUGCAGUAUUUUUCUUUGAGAGAGACGACUGAAGAAUUUUUAUUUUUGGAUACUCUUUUAUAUUUGCACUUGAUUCAGAUUUCUCAUGUUUUAAGUCAAUUUCAUCAGCCAGAUUCACUAGAAGUUCCUUGCUUGCUGCCCUAUGUUUCCUCUUCAAUUAGGUCUCAGAUGAUACAGUCUUUCAUCAACUACUAUUUCCUUAGCAGGUAUUCUCCUACGGCUCCUUUUGGCGUAUAAUCAUCUUCUCGAACAACUCAUCCAUAUAAAUUUGGGCUAGGGGAAUUUCUAUUGGUUUUUUGCUCUUAUUUGCUGCAGUGGGAGGCUUCAAAGUCCUUCUCAAAUUCCAGUGCACCCGUAAGUUAGUCCAAUCUCUAUUGGAUCUCUACAAUGACACCAAACAUUGAUCCCUUCUCAAAACUUGACGCACAUAAACAUUAGCAACAACCGUUAUUGAAUUGUAACAGAGUAUCUGUAACGCCCCAAAAUUUCAUCUCGAGAUGCCAUAUGGUGCUUAGGGCUACACGUAGCCCCAAGCUAACCCUCGGAGCCAGACACUACCUCAAGGAAUUCAAUUCAAGAAUAGUCAUGCAUAACAAAGAGAUAUACCACAUCGAGUUCAAGAGAAAUAUUAGAGAAUACUAGACUGUAUAACCAAAAUAUAUUAAAUGUCUGUACAUACCAACCCUCUAGUCUAACAAAGACUCUAUACAUCAAAAUCAAGGAGCCAUUAAGACAAACCCCCAACUAACUCAAACAGUACUGAAAGCCAUAACAACAGAACGAUAUCACAAAAAUAUAGACACGAUCCUCAAACCAUGAGGACUCACCACUGAGGGAACGUAGUUGAGGCACUCGAAUAUCGUUAACGCAGCUGCGGCUGAGUACCUAAACCAACAUUAUGAGAAAAUGUAGCCCAUAGGAAAAUAUGUGGGUCAGCACUUUGGAAUGUACUGAGUAUGUGGGGGUGCAUGCAACAAUGCAAAUAUCAUCAUCAAUUUCAUAAAAUAUGCAUAUGUACAAUGAUGGCUCACUUGGCUUGAGUUAGACUAAAACAUACUUUUCAUGAUCUCAUAGUAAAUAAAUCAUAUGAUAAAAACCUCAUAAAUCAUCAUAAACAACUCAACUCUUCAACUCAAGACUCAAAGUGACUCGAUAAUUCAAGAAACUCAACUCUUAUGGACAUAGGAGGUUCUUAUAACCGACAUAAACUAUGUGAGCUACAUAGAGUCCAACGUUUUGCCCUCCAAAGGAGAGAACCCCACAUUGGCGGGAGCGUCGUACUCUUACCAGGGAGUACAACCUAAAUUUAGUGAUCAUAAUCUCAUACUCGGCCUCUGGCCCACACACAAGCUCGGACGCGUUAGGAAAUCCACCACAAACAUCACAAGGGUCUAUCAUGAAGACCAAAUCAAAUCUCUUUCUCAUUUAUCAAAUCAUAAUCAAUUUAUGGAUUCCUAAGCCGACUCAAAUCAAAUCAACCUUUCUCAACAUCAAAAUGUAUCAAUUCAUUAAAUUAUGACAACAUCAAUAACUUUGAGGAAAUAUCAAGACUCAUUGUAACAACUCUAUAUCAUGAAUCAAUAUACUAAAUAAUCUAAUUUGUCAUAAGGAAGCUUAAAGGUUGACACAUAUCUUGAAAGCACUUGAAAUAUCAACUCAUGGUAGAAAUAUGAAACUCACAAUAUUAAAUAUCAAGUCAUAACUUAGGAACUGUAAAAUAAUCAUGUAUAACAAAACUUGAAUAAUUUAUAUUCUCAUAGUCUCAUGAUGAAGUAAUUUGGGUAUAAACCCACUUGCAAAAACAUAUAAAUCCAUAAUAGAAAUCAAACCUUUGGGCAUAAGAACGAAAGGAUUGCUCUUGUUCAAAACCCCACAUACCUUAAUCUUUGAAAUUGGAUGAAUUCUAGUGCUUAAGACUCUAUCCGCACUUGUAAUAAAUGAUUCUUGAAGCCCACACUAUGAGGAACUUGAUUCUUGAAGAAAUCUUGAAGAUUUAUGGAUGAUUUUUGGAAGAUUAAAUUUUCUUGAUUGAAACCCUAAUAUAUUUUCUUAUGAGAAUUGGAAGAGAGAAUGAAGAAAUUAGGGUUGGAUGGAGAUUCUCAUAUAUAUAGGGGCCUCCAAAAGAUGGAAAAAGACAAAAAUACCCUUGCAAAAAUGUCCUUUAAUUGCUGAAAAAAUAGCUAACGACAUUUGUGACAAGUCGUCAUGAAAUAUCGUCACAAAAGGGUGGAUUUUAUGAUUUUCAACUUAAGGUUGACGACAUUUUGUGACAAGUCGUCACAAAAUGUCAUCACAAAAUAUUGGAUUUUGUGACUUUCUGCUUAUAUUGACGAUAUUUUGUGACAAGCCAUCAGGCUUGUGACAAGUCGUCACAAAAUUUUCAGGCUGACACGUUGAAGUAAAAUGGGCAUAACUCUUUGCUCCGAUAUUGGAUUUUGGCGAAAUUGGUAACGUUGGAAAGAUAAUUCAAUUAUCUAUCUUUUGGUAGGUCAUAUGCUCAAUAAUUAGUAGUAUAACAAGAGAUAUGCUCAUUUGAAGUUGAAUAUAGCAAUAUCCUUCCUAAGAAUUCAAUCGGUAAGGAAUGCUUUGAUUCACCUAAUCGCUAGGACAUCUUUGAGGUCUUAAUACACAUCACCCUUGCUCAGAAAACAAACAAAGCACUAUAAUUUAUUUUUCAUGAGCUUGAGUCAUGGUUGCACUAUUGGUUAGAGUCUCGGGGUAUUACAAUAUCUCCCCCUCGGAAACAUUCAUCCUCGAAUGUUGCCUGAUAGGCCAAGAACAAGAGAAAAUACGGAUGUAUAGCUAGAAUGACUCACUCAAAGGGCUUACUUCACUCAAUACCUUUGUACACCAUACAAAAUGCAUGAAUUCGUGAUGGAAGUAGACACACAGCUGAAUCUUUAAUAAGAAGAGGGCGGAAUUAAGAAAGAAUGGCACCUUCUGCUUGCUUCAAACUCACAGAAAAGAGGUGAGGGUACUUGGCUCACAUAUCAGCUUCGUCUUUCCAAGUAGCACUCUCAACAGAUUGAUUUCUCCAAAUCACUUUAACCAAAGGAACUUCUUUGUUCCUUAGCCUACGGAUCUUAAAAUCCAAAAUCUCAACCAGAAUCUCCUUAAAUGAAAUGCUAUCCUGAAUAUCUAAGCUUUCAGAAGAAUCAACCACGAUAGAAUCACCAAUACACUUAUUAAGCAUAGAAACAUAGAAUACCGGAUGAACGCUAGAUAAAUUCGCAGGUAACUCCACCUCAUAUGCUACUUUCCCAACACGGCUCAGAAUCCUGUACGGACCAACAUAAUGGGGACUAAGCUUUCCCUUCUUCCCAAAUCUAUUCACCCCUUUCAUGGGUGAAAUCUUCAAGUACACCAAAUCAUUAACAUUAAACUCAAGAUCUUUUCUUCUCACAUCCGCAUACGACUUUUGAUGACUUUGAGCGGUCUUCAAUCUUUUUCGAUCAACUUAAAUUUUUCCAUAGCCUCAAACACCGCAUCAGGCCCAAUCACAGUUCCUCUCCUACUUCAAACCAACCUAUUGGCGAUCUACAUCUUCUCUUAUACAAAGCUUUGAGCGGGGCCAUUUGAAUACUAUCAUGGAAACUAUUGUUAUACGCAAACUUGAUCAAUGGCAAGUGCUCAUCCCAACUACCUUUAAAAUCAAGCGCACAUGCCCUCAACAUAUCUUUUAAAGUCUGAAUAGUCCACUCAGCCUAACCAUUUUCUUGCGGAUGGAAAGCAGAACUUAGACGAACUUGGGUACCGAGACCCUUCUGAAAAGCCCUCCAAAAUUGGGAAGUAAACUGAGUACCCUUAUCAGAGAUAAUAGCCAAAGGAACUUCAUGAAGUCUAACGAAUUCUCGAAUAUACAAUCUAGCAUAAUCCUUAGUUAUAUAAGAUGAGUGCACUGGCAAGAAAUAAGCUGAUUUAGUCAACCAGUCUACUACAACCCAAAUCGAAUCAUGAUGACGAUCAGAAGGAGGCAAACCAAUUACGAAAUCCAUAUUUACUUCUUUCCACUUCCAAGUAGGAAUGCUAAACUCUUACAUUACACCACCAGGCCUUUGGUGCUCUACCUUAACCUAUUGACAAGUAUAACACUUUGCCUCAAAUCCUGCUAUGUCUUUCUUCAUACCAUUCCACCAAUAGAUUUCCCUCAAAUCACGGUACGUCUUGGUAGCAUCGGGAUGAAUAAAGUAUCGUGCACCAUGCGCUUCCCCCAUAAUUCUCUAUCGUAGAUCAUCAACAUCGGGAACACACAAUCUACCUUGCCAUCUUAACACGCCAUCUCCCCCUUGGGAGAAAACCUCUACCUUUUGGUCUUUAACUGACUCCUUCAGUCUGACCAAACUAGGAUCUCUGUCUUGCUUCUCCUUUACCCAUGAGACCAAAGAGGACUCAAAGCUACUCUGAACUAACAUACUUCCUUCAGCGGAAUCAAGCAAUAUAAUACCCAACCUAGCUAAACCAUGCACAUCAUGAGCCAAUUAUUUCUUAUCAUUCUCUACAUGAGCUACACUACCCAUAGACAACCUGCUAAGAGCAUCUGCCACAACAUUGGCCUUACCCGGGUGAUACAACACACUCAUAUCAUAAUCUUUUAAUAUCUCCAACCACCGUCUCUGCCUAAGGUUCAACUCCUUUUAGGUGAACACAUACUGCAAGCUUUUAUGGUCCGUAAGGACAUCAACAUGGACACCAUACAGAUAAUGUCUCCAGAUUUUCAAAGCAAAAAUUACAGCUGCUAAUUCAAGAUCAUGGGUUGGGUAAUUCUUCUAUGAGGCUUCAACUGUCUAGAGGCAUAAGCUAUAACUUUACCCCUCUGCAUCAACACACAACCCAAACCAACUCUAAAAGCAUCACAAUACUCCACAAAACCAUCAUUACCAUCAGGUAAAGCUAACACUGGGGCUGAAGUGAGUCGAGUCUUCAACUCCUAAAAACUCUUCUCACAGGCAUCUAUCCAUUGAAACUUAACUUUCUUUUGGGUCAAACGGGUCAUGGGGGAUGCAAUGGAAGAUAAUCCUUUAACAAAAUGAUUGUAGUAACCAGCUAGACCCAAGAAACUCCUAAUGUCAGAUGGGGAGGUAGGUUUAGGCCAAUUCUUUAUAGUUUUUGUCCUUUGGGGAUCGACUCUAAUGCCUUCGACGGAAACAAUGUGACCUAGAAAAGCAACUGACCUUAGCCAAAAUUCAUACUUUCUAAAUUUAGCAAAUAAUUGAUGAUCUCUAAGACUUUGCAAGACAAUUCUAAGAUGGUCGGCAUGAUCAUCCUCUCUUUACGAAUACACAAGAAUAUCGUCUAUGAAUACAAUGACAGGCAAAUCCAGAUACUGCUUGAAUACUCAGUUCAUCAGAUCCAUAAAAGACGCUAGAGCAUUGGUUAACCCAAAAGACAUGACCAAGAGCUCAAAAUGACCAUAACGGGUUCGGAAGGUUGUCUUUGGAAUAUCACAUUCCCUAACCCUAAGCUGGUGAUAGCCGGAUCUAAGGUCUAUUUUUUAGAAGUAGAUCGCACCUUGUAACUGAUCAAACAAAUCAUCAAUUUGAGGAAGAGGGUACCUAUUCUUGAUAGUUACCUUGUUGAGUUGACGGUAAUCAAUGCGCAUACGCAAUUUACCAUCUUUCUUACACAUGAAUAGAACAGGUGCAAAAUAUUGGGUCUAAUAAAGUCUUUAUCUAAGAGAUCUUUGAGUUGCUCCUUUAACUCUUUAAGUUCUGCGGAAGCUAUAUGGUACGGAGAAAUGAAAAUAGGCUGAGUGCCGGGAGGGAUAUCAAACCAGAAUUUUAUCUCUCUAUUAGGUGGGACCCCUGGGAGAUCUUCUGGGAAAACAUCGGGAAACUCAUUAGCAAUGCUAACUAACUGAAUAGUCGGAGUCUCGGACUUGAGGUCAUUAACUUGAACUAGGUGAUAGAUAUAACCCUUGGAAAUCAACUUCCUAGCUUUGAGGUAGGAUAUGAAAUGGCUCUUCGGAGUUACAGAACUCCCGGACCACUCAAAAAUGAGCUCAUCAGGAAACUAAAAAUUGACCACGUGGGUAUGACAAUCUAUAGAUGCAUAGCACGAGUGAAGCCAAUCUAUAUCCAAAAUGACGUCAAAAUCAACCAUAUCUAGCUCAAUCAAAUCAGCACAUAUGAACUGAUGAAGGACAGUGACGAGACACUUCUUAUAUACUCUCUUAGCAAUAAUAGAUUCUUCUACCAGGGUAAAAACUAGAAUAGGCUUUGGAAUCCGUUCAGGGUCCAUCUCAAAAUUUACAGCAACUAGAGGUGUCACAUAAGAGAAACUCGAAUCAGGGUCCAUCAAUACAUACACAUCAAAAUAAAAAACACGGAUCAUACCAGUGACAACAUUUGGAGAGUCCUCCUACUCCUGGCAAAGUGGUAUAGCAUAAAAGCAAUUCUGGCGCGAACCACCGCAGUACUAGAAGAGAUACCCUGAGGAAGAACUAGGCGGACUAAGGGAGCGGGGUCACUAGUAGCCUAACUCUGGGGACGAGCAUCUCGACUCCCCUAUCUAACAUACGGACAAUCUCUAAGUCGGUGGCCUAACUUUCCACAACCCAAGAAACCCCUCUGAUCAAUAAAACACUCGCCAAAAUGAUCUCUACCACACUUGGCACAUGAAGGAGGACGAGGUAUGUUACACUUUCCUGAGACCUAGAUGGGAUAGGCAUGUUCCCCUGGUCCUGCCUGCUUCUAGGCAUGAGAGCACUAACUGAGGAAAGCGCGGGCAUAAAUGGACAUCCCUGGAAUUGAGGGCGGUUCCCUCCAUGGAAUUUGGACUAAUCGGAUCCCUACUGCUCUGAUCUAGCUACUUUAUUCCCUCUUACUCUCUCUCUCUCUUUCACCUUAUCAGCUUUAAUCUGUUGGGCAUGUAUCAUCAAUCGAGAAAGGUCCAUCUCCCUAUUAAGCAUAACAAAUCUACUCUCUUUCACAACAUAACUCGACACGCCAGUCACAAACUUACUCAUGAUGGUCCUGGAGUCAGCCAUCAUACUAGGAGAAUAUUUAGAUAACUGAUUAAAUCUAAGACAAUACUCCUUAACAGUCAUGGAGCCUUGUCUCAAAUUUAUGAAUUCCUCUAUCUUUUCUUCCCUCAUCUCAAGAGAAAAGAACCUGCCCAAAAACGUAUCCUGGAAUAACUGCCAAGUCAUGGAAGCAGCAUCCUUCCCUCUACUUAUCCUCCAUAUCUCCACCCAAUCAUAUGCAACAUCUUUCAUUCGAUAGACCAUUAAUUCAACACUCUCCUCCUCAGUCACGUGCAUAAUCUGGUGAUCUUUCUCACUUCAUCCAAGUACAUCUGUGGGUCUUCACCGACCUUCGACCCAUAGAACUCAGGCAGAUUCAUCCGCAUAAAGUCACGAACCCGAGCUGCAGCAGAAUUAUUCUCUUGCAGAGAUAGAACAGUAGCCUGGGCGUUAGCUUGAGUAUUGGAGGUAACUGCCUGGGCUAACGCCUAAAAAGCUACCCGAAAUUCCGCAUGAGACAUAUGCUCGUUCAAGGGAUCAACGGGUUGAGGUUGCUCUUUGUUUCUACGAGCUCGAUGAGGAGGUUAUUUUUGGUAUAAUAGAGCACGAGUUAAUCGUAGAUAAAGAGAUAGUUGUAGGCACGAUAAACUUUAGAAAGAAAGAAAUAACUUUUCCUAAAAUAUUCCGUAGCCUCUUUCUCAUAGAUAUGGUGCGCUACACACCGAUGAUCAAGACUCUACGUAACACGGCUUUUCAGACUUCCUAGGACUCCUUAAACCUUAGGCUCUGAUACCAAGCUUUGUAAUACCCCAAAAUUCAUCCCAAGACGCCAAACGGUGCUUAGGGCUACACGUAGCCCCAAGCUAACCCUCGGAGCCAGAUACUACCUCAAGGAAUUCAAUUCAACAAUAGUCAUGCACAACAAAGAGAUAUACCACAUCGGGUUCAAGAGAAAUAUAAGAGAAUACUAGACUGUACAACCAAAAUAUAUUGAAUGUCUGUACAUACCAACCCUCUAGUCUGACAAAGCCUCUAUACAUCAAAAUCAAGGAGCCAUUAGGACAAACCCCAAACUGACUCAAACAGUACUGAAAGUUAUAACAACAGAAUGAUAUCACAAAAAUAUAGACACGGUCCUCGAACCAUGAGGACUUACCACUGAGGGAACGUAGUUGAGGCACUCGAAUAUCGCUAACGUGGCUGCAGCUAAGUACCUGAACCUACUUUACUAGAAAAUAUAGCCCAUAGAAAAAUAUAUGGGUCAGCACUUUGGAAUGUACUGAGUUUGUGGGGGUGCAUGCAACAAUACAAAUAUCAUCAUCAAUUUAAUAAAAAAUGCAUAUGUACAAUGAUGGCUCACUUGGCUUGAGUUUGAUUCAAACAUACUUUUCAUGAUCUUAUAGUAAAUAAAUCAUAUGAUAAAAACCUCAUAAAUCAUCAUAAAUAACUCAACUCUUCAACUCAAGACUCGGAGUGACUCGGUGAUUCAAGAAACUCAACUCUUAUGGACAUGGGAGGUUCUUAUAACCGACAUAAACUAUGUGAACUACAUAGAGUCCAACAUUUUACCUUCCUAAGGAGAGAACCCCAUAUUGGUGGGAGCGUCGUACUCUUUCCAGGGAGCACAACCUAAAUUUAGUGAUUACAAUCUCAUACUCGGCCUCUGGCCCACAAUUAUCAGUAUCAAUCCUACGGUGGCACGUAGUUUUAAAAAAAUACCACAUUUCCCGCAUGGUGCUAAAUACUACUCCCAGACACAAGCUCAGGACGCGUUAGAAAAUCCACCACAAAUAUCACAAGGGUCUAUCAUGAAGACCAAAUCAAAUCUCUUUCUCAUUUAUCAAAUCAUAAUUAAUUUGUGGAUUCCUAACCCAACUCAAAUCAAAUCAAUCUUUCUUAACAUCAAAAUGUAUCAAUUCAUUAAAUCAUAACAACAUCAAUAACUUUGAGGAAAUAUCAAGACUCAUUGUAACAACUCAAUCCCAUGAAUCAAUAUACUCAAUAAUCCAAUUUGUCAUAAGGAAGCUUAAAGCUUGACACAUAUCUUGAAAGCACUUGAAAUAUCAACUCAUGGUAGAAAUAUGAAAUUCACAAUAUUAAAUAUCAAGUUAUAACUUGGAAAUUAUAAAAUAAUCAUAUAUAACAAAUCUUGAACAAUUUAUAUUCUCAUAGUCUCAUGAUGAAGUAAUUUGGGUAUAAACCCACUUGCAAAAACAUAUAAAUCCAUAAUAGAAAUCAAAGCUUUGGGCACAAGAACGAAAGGAUUGCUCUUGUUCAAAAUCCCACAUACCUUAAUCUUUGAAAUUGGAUGAAUUCUAGUGCUUAAGACUCUAUCCGCACUUGUAAUAAAUGAUUCUUGAAGCCCACACUAUGAGGAACUUGAUUCUUGAAGAAAUCUUGAAGAUUUAUGGAUGAUUUUUGGAAGACUAAAUUUUCUUGAUUGAAACCCUAAUAUAUUUUCUUAAGAGAAUUGAAAGAGAGAAUGAAGAAAUUAGGGUUUGGAUGGGGAUUCUCAUAUAUAUAGGGGUCUCCAAAAGAUGGAAAAAACCAAAAUACCCUUGCAAAAACGUCCUUUAAUUGCUGAAAAAUUUAGCUGACGACAUUUGUGACAAGUCGUCACGAAAUGUCGUCACAAAAGGGUGGAUUUUAUGAUUUCUGUCUUAAGGUUGAUGACAUUUUGUGACAAGUCGUCACAAAAUGUCGUCACAAAAUAUUGGAUUUUGUGACUUUCUGCUUAUGGUGACGACAUUUUGUGACAAGCCGUCAGGCUUGUGACAAGUCGUCACAAAAUGUCAUCACGAAAUUUUCAAGCUGACAUGCUGGAGUAAAAUGGGUAUAACUCUUUGCUCCGAUAUCAAAUUUUGGUGAAAUUGGUAUCGUUGGAAAGAUAAUUCAAUUAGCUAUCUUUGGUAGAUCAUACGAUCAAUAAUUCAUAGUAUAACGAGAGAUAUGCUCCUUUGAAGUUGAAUAUGACAAUAUCUUCCCAAGAAUUCAAUCGAUAAGGAAUGCUUUGAUUCAGCUAAUCGCUAGGACAUCUUUGAGGCCUUGAUACACAUCACCCUUUCUCAGAAAACAACCAAAGCACUAUAAUUUAUUUUUCAUGAGCCUGAGUCAUGGUUGCACUAUUGGUUAGAGUCUCGGGGUAUUAUAGUAUCGACACCAUCUUCAUGGUCCCUCGACCUUAUCAAUUCGAACCUAUCAAACUUAACUGCGCAAUGCAAGAUCUUAUUUGAAUAAUCAAUGCCUAAUCGGUUAAAAACUGCAUUCACAAAUUCAUUAUACUUUGGGUGUGUUGUCACUAUGACCUUAUUAGUAAUACUAACUCCCACACAUGAAAAUAGAUUCAUCCAUCUGUAUGCACCUUAUUCUUCCUAGCCCAUCUAUGACUUAAUUUGAAUGAACAGAUGAUUAACUUGUUGCAACAGAUGACACAUAUAUUAAAAUCAUCAAACAAUUAUAAGCAUUUGUUACAACAAAUGAUAAAUAUAUUGCAACAGAUGAUUUAUCAAACACACACACACACAUAUAUAUAUAUAUACAUUUGUUACAACAGAUUGACAAUAUGUUAUAAAUUAUAAAACAUAUUAGAUAUAUUUUGUAACAAAUUAACCAUCCGUUGGAUUUAUUUUAAAUCAAUUUUCUUUUUGAAAUAAAAUAAAGAUAAAAUAUUGUAUUUAGAUCCGUUAUUUUAAUUUACAUAAUUGAAAAGUCACCAGUUUUAUUAAAGUAAGGGGUGUAAUUAUACAUAACUCUACUUCUAGAUAUGAAUUAUCCGGAUUUGGACAAGCGGAAACAUCAAAAGCAGAUUCAUGAACUCCGGUGGGAGUUGGGCACCAUGAGAGCAAGGCUGAGAAGGGCCCUGCUGCUGCCGGAUAACGAUUGGUUGGUUGACAAUAAUAAUAAUAGUAAUAAUAAUAAUAAUAAUAAUAAUUAGGCUAUAUUUUUUCUUUUAGCGUAUGUAUUUUCUUUUAUUUUAUCGGAUCUACCUAAGGGAGGAACCUAAUGCAUGUUUUGUUUUUUAUUGUAUAUUUGUAUAUAAUUGAUUCAAAAAUCUAUGUUAGAUCGACUUUGGAUUUUUAAUUCUUAUUUAAUUUUCAUUCUGUCUGUUCCUUAUUCUCAACAUAUCGACGGUUGAAGGUAGGGAUUGAGCAUUUGUGAAAACGGAUGGUUAAUUUGUUGCGACAGAUGAAUCAUAUAUUGCAACAGAUGGUUAUUAAUAAAAAAUAUUAUUAUUGCUAUUGAAAGGGUGAAAAGUCAUGACUUUUCGAUUAUUUAAUAUAAAAAAUAGUUUGUGAAUAAAUAAUAAGGAAAUAAAUGAUAAAUACAAUUUAUAACUGUAGAAAAAUGGUUAUUUAAUUUUAAUAAUUGAUGUUAAUAUUAAAUAGGAGAGAAGUCGUGACUUUUCACCAUUUUUAAUUUUAAUUUAUAUAAAAAAAAGGCACCAAUUUGGAUUAAUUAAGGUAUAUGAUGAUUAUUAAAAAAGAGGUGAACAGUUGUGACUUUUUAUCUAAACAGCUAAUGAAUCAAAUUCCCUAUCUAUUACAACUGAUGAAUCAACUGUUAGAAGAAAUGAAAAAAACUCUUUCAACAGAUGGUCCAUUUGUCGCAACAGAUAUUCCAUAUGUUGGAACAGAUGAUAAAUUAGUUACGACAGAUAGGUUAUCUGUUGCAACAUAUGGACCAUCUGUUGCAACAGGUAAAUAAAACAGUUAUUAUUAAAAGAAAUAAUUAUUGAAAAAGUGAGAGGUCUUCUAUUAUUUAAUUGAGAGAAAAACGAUCAUUUAAUUUUAAGAACUAAUUAAUAUUAAGAAGCUGAAAAGUCAUGACUUGUUACAAUAAUUAAAAAAUCACCAGUUUGAUUUAAUGAAGUCAUUUCUUUUUACUAAAAAAUAAAAAGUCGGCAGUUUGAAUGUAAUUAAUAAAAUGGAGGUGAACAGUUGUACCUUUUUGCCUACCACAUUCAAAUUAAAUCCUCUAUAAAUAGGUCCCUGCUUACUUUUCAUUCUAUUUCACUUUAUUUAUUUAUUGCAUCUUGUCUUUCAUAUUACAUCGUCAACCACUUUUCUUCAAAGAGCAUAUUUCUUUCUCGUUGAGGUAAGUUUUUUUGGAGUGUGUAAAUCUACCAGUUAGUAGUAUUCGUUGUAUUACAUUCAGACUCUUUUUUUUUUUUACCUUUGUAUUAUAUUUUUUGUCUAUUCAUGUGUGUUCUAGAUAUGCCUGAUCCUAGACAUUGCUAUUCUGUACGAUACCGUACGGGAACUUCAGAGUCAGGUUAAUGACCUGCAGUGGGAGUUGGGUGCCGUGAGAGCAAGGAUGCUCCGAGAGAUAGGAGGGUCCUGCUACUGCCGACUGCCGAUUGACCGGCUGACAACAACAACAACAACAACAACAACAACAAUAAUAAUAAUAAUAAUAAUAAUUAGGCUAUGCUUUUUUGUUUUAGCGUAUGUAUUUUUGUUUUUCUAUAUCGUAUCUACCUACCUAAUGUAUUUUGUUUUUAUUUAAUGAAAAAUUUAUGUUUGGUCUAGUUUGCUUUUUUAAUUCUUAUUUAAUUUUUAUUCUGUUUAUUUCUUCUUCUCAACAAACAUGUCGACGAUUGGAUGUAAGGAACAAUUUUGAAUCUAGUAGCAAUAGCAAGAGUUUUGAGUUCUUUCAACAGAUGUACCAUCUGUUGAAACAGAUUGGUUAUCUGUUGGGUUUAUGGCGAAAACUGUAUUGUGUUGUUCCAAACAGAUUACCCAUCUGUUGCAACAAGUGACUAAUCUAGUUUAACACAUGAGUCCUCUGUUGCACCAGAUAACUCGUCUGUUGCAACAGAUGACCAUCUGUUUGAUUCAUGUUACGGGCACUAUAAAAUCAUAGACAUGAAUCCAACAUAUGAGUCUUCCAUUGCAACAGGUGACGCAUCUGUCGCAACAGAUGAGUGAUCUAUUUAAACAGAUAACUCUUAUAUUGGAUUCAUGUUCGGGUUUUAUUCAUUGUUGAAAAAAUAGCAGUAGCAAUGUACCCAGAUUACAAAUUCAGCUAAAAAUCAUAAUUUUACUUACCAAAGUCACCUAUGAAGUAAUGCCAAAGUGAUGUAUGAAACAAAAUUUGACCUAAAAAAUUGGUCAAGUACCAACAGUAGCAGUAAAAACCAACAAUAAUGGUCAACAAGAAGAAGAUAGAGGUGAUAAUGAAGAAGAUGAUGAUGAUAAUGAAGAAGAACAUGAUGAAUAAAGUAGCAAUAAUAAUGAACAACAAAAAUUGUGAAGAGAGAGAAAAUAAUAAUGAAUGAGAAGAGAGAGAAAUACAUCUUUUUUUUCCCUCUAUUUUCUGAUAUAUUAAGUUAAUAUUUGGAUCAAACUAUAAAUUUAAAAACUUGUGAAUUAUUCUCAAACUUUUUCAACUUUCCUAAUCCGUAAUAAAGUAAUUUAAAACUCUAAGAUACAAUUUUCAAAAUGGUAAAACAAUUAAAAUAUGCGAAAACACCAAAAGAGUCCUCAAAAUAGAAGUUCUGGUGGUAAAUUAAGAAAUUACAAAUAGGCAACAACCAUCCAAUAUUCAACUUAGGGAUGUGCAUCGGUCGGUUCGGUUCGAUUUUAUGUGUUAUUGGUUCGAUUUAUCGGUUUUUGAUUUUUAAAUAUGUAAAACCAAUAACCAACCAAUAAGAUAUUUUCUUAUCGGUUUUGAUUUAUCAUUUUUUGGUCCUUAACGAUUCGAUUUUCGGUUUAACCAAUAAGAAAAUACUUAUAAAAUAGAAAUAGUAAUAACUAACAUAAAAAACGAAAUCUUAGUUACCGUCAAAAUCCUACGCAAUACAUUUUAAUUUACAAGAAUCUUCAAACUCGAACUGAAUGUUAGUUAAAAUAAAAAUUAAAUCUUAAUUGUUGGAAGCUAUAAAUGCUUCAAGCUUUUCAAUACGAUAAUAGUCGAGCUUUAUAUUGUACCUUUGUUGCUCUGAAUAAAUUAAUACUCUGUGAAUCAUUUAAUUAUAAAUAAGUAGUACAUAUAAUAUAUAUGUACAUAUACAUAUCUAUCUAUCUCUAUGAAUAGAUAUACAGAGAGAUAUUUAUACAUAUAUAAAAUAAAUAGCGAUAAAAUAAUAAUAUAGUGUAUCCUUAUUAGGUAAACUAAAAUCGAAAUCAAACCAUUUAUUCAAUAAAUAUUUUAUAAAACCAAUAAAAAAUCAUUAAUCCAAUAACCCAAUACCAAUAAACUAAUAAUAUUCUUAUGAUUUAAUUUAUGAUGCUUCAAUUUUUGCACACCCCUAAAUUCAACCGAAGCUGUAACAAUAGUCUGUAUACAUACCCUGAGAAAGGCCAUCACUUUUUCUUCUCUCAUCAUCUUCGAUCAUCUAUUCAUAUUCAUCUCCUAACGCCUUCUCCAAAAUCCAGUAAGUAUUUAUUACUUGUACAACACUGUUUCUUUCCUACAAUUUCCUCACUCCCCUAUUAUUCCGGAAAUUUGUUAUUUGUUGCAACUUUUCAUAUUUAUUGUUGUUAUUAUUAUUAUUAUUAAAGAUUCUAGGGCUUCACCAGUUGAUUCAAGAGUCGCUGGGUUUAUUGCCAAUCGUCAAUUCAAUAGUUUUUCUGGUUUAAGAUUCAGGUCACUUGUUAAUUUGCUGCUAUUCUUUUCUCGAUUCAACAAGUUGGUGUGAUUGAUUCUUUUUUAUUUUAAUAUAAUUAAUCAAAUGCUGAUUUUGAUUUAAACCGACCCUUUUCAAGAAUGAGAGUUCUUUUGUGUAUACUGAGGCCAACGUAUUUUCUGAUGUGUAUCGCUAAAGUUCUUGUCUCUUGUUGCUUUCCUUUUUUUUUUUUUUUGAUAUCACCAUGGUGUCGGGCCAGCUAGCGCACUAAUUCCAUGGGCCACCUCCCACUUGGAACAGUUACCAACUAACUCUGGCUACCUAGGCUAGAACAAUUAGGUGCUAUAAUUCCCCUCGCCCUGUUUGGAGUUCAAUAUUUUUGUGUAAGUAGAUAGGACAUAAACAGUGUGAUUGAUGAUGCUCAUUGAGAUUCAGCGGAGGAAUGCUGCAAUAGGGUAUUUGUUUUAUUGAACUUUGUCAAAAAAUUUAAUGAAUGCAAUGCAUUGUUGAUAAUUCAUUUGCUUGUUUCCUUGUCAUUAAUAAGUAGUUUGUCGUUACGUGAAAGUUUGUACCUUCAUUUAUUAAUUAAUUCUGUCUUAUAGCAACAAAGUUGUUACUAAACGUGGAAACUGCACGCUAAACUUUUCAAUUUAGUUGAUUGUGAAAGCUUAAAGCAUGUAAAUUCUAGAUUGUUUGCUAAGAGUUAUGUACUUCUUGGCAUUGAGAAAACUUCCCUUGGACACAUAGAAGUUUUGAGUCUCAAAAUUGAGACAACAUCAAUAAAAAGAUGCAAGAAGAUUUUGAAAUCACUUACUGUUGAUUUGAGUAGUGUCAAGAAUGAAACAAAUAGCUGUUUUGUUGUAUUCAAUUAAUUGAAUUAAGUGGUAUUUUCUUUAGAUCUAAUAAAUCACAGCAACUCAAUUUUGAUACCAGUGUCACCUCAGCCUCAUGCCAGUUUAAUCUCAUCAUUUUUGUAAUUAAAAAUCUCAAAGUUGCUUCGCUUUUGCUGUGUAGCUGCAUUUAGUUUUCCUUAUCAAAUGUCAACUCAAAUAUAGGGUAUGAUAUUGAUGGAGGAAGUUUCUAGGUUUCUAAGAUCCACCCUCUAUGAUGAUGCCGAGUAUGAUUGGUGAUUAUAGAGGAAAAUAGUGCAGGAGUGGGGGAAUGAUGUUGAUCAUCUUAUCAGGAGCUGUUCACCUGAGCAUAUCCGAAUGAUGUUGAUCAUCUUAUUGGGAACUUCACCUGAGCAUAUCCGCUUAGGAUCGGAUUGAGUGUUUUGUCUUCACAUGGGGUCAAGGCAUGCUCGAGAUAAACGAUUUACAAAUAUUAUUUUGUCAAUGUAUGUGCGAUCUGAAAACUAUCAAUUGUGAUCUUGUUUUGAGAUCAAAAUGGUAUGAUCUUGCUAUUAAUGGAUCCGCUACUUGUGUGUGGUUACCAUCAGCAUUCCAUGUCUGGACUUCCAUGGUCUCUAUGUUAUUUCUAUGUGAAUCAAAUCAUUGACUAAAUCAAGUUUUUUAAUUUACAAGUACAGCUGUUGCUUUGAGACGGUCAACUCUGCCGGAGACAUUUUGCACCGCAUUACGCAUGGCAGCCGUUUUGCAAUGAGCUGAAGUUCAUCCAUCAAAUUCACUUAAAAGAAGUAUGUUUUUUUACUGAUUUCUUUAUUUGAUGGGGCUUGGUUAUAUUUUUCGUAACUUCAAAGCUAGCCUUCUAUCACCAUCCUUGAGUGAUUUUUUUCCCCUGCGGCCCAUUAAUGUGUGCCAACAGGCUCAUUGACUAAUUUUUGUAAUUAUGAAUGAAGUGCCAUAUAGAUUUGAUGAGCUACUUGAUCAGGACUUUGAUUCCCUUGGAAAUAGUUGCAUCUUGUCAGGUUUUCAUUUGUCUGAUCCAUAUGAGGUCACGAUUGACACUGUCGAAUGCUAAGAUUGAGAAGAAGAAGACUGAUGGAAAAUUAAAAAGUUACUAUAAAAGACCAAAUUAUUCCUAGUAACUAAUCCAUUAAUUAAAAAUUACCUGUGAGUAUAUUUAUGAUAAGUUACCUGUGGGUAUAGUGGCUAUGUUAAAGUGAACUUGGCUGCAGAUAUUGGAAGGGAAUAGCAAAGGUGAAAUUCAUUAGUAAAGACAGACAAACCAGCGGACUAGCUGCUGGGAAAGGGAGGUCCAACAGAUCAGAGACCAGAGAGUAAAGAUAAGAGAGAAAAGAAAGAAUCUAGACAGAAUUGAACAAUCUAGGUGCUACCAGUGAAGUGGAAAGAAUAGUGUAAAAGUAGGAUGAUGUUGGUUCUGCCAACAAGGUUUCGAUGAAGGCAAUGGUUACUUUGGUGUAUCUGAAUCGAUGCUGGUGGCUACUUCAUAUAAUUCUAAUUAUCUAGUUUCUGAUUUCAGACUUUUACCUCCCAUUGGCUCAUGAUGUAUCAAAACAAUCUCCCACUCCCUAACCAUUGUUGCAGAAAUUUGAACACUGAUCCUCUUUUAUAUAUUGGUAGCCACAUUAAGAAAAGCCAAACACCAGUAAAACCCAUAAUGCUGAACCUUCAUUUUGUGGUUAAAAAGUACGAUUGGAUAUAACACUUCUUCCAUUUGGAUUAUUACAGCUCAAUGGAUCAUCACAUACUAUUGAAGCAAUGGAUGGUUUAGUGCCCUUAAGUAUAUGAUAUGCUUAUCUAUUUCUUUUCUGUAUAGGCUAAUUGGGCAGAAAUUAUUGUAUUUUCCUUUUUUUUUUGCCCGUGUACUUGUUAAUACUUAUUUAGGUUAUGAUUGUCGAAGUUGGAGUCACCUAUGCUGAAAAUAUAGAUAAAGAAUUUAUUGUUUUUAUCUUAAAAUAUUGCUGUCAUGGGGAUUUUCUGAUUUGAGUAAUCGAAAGCCAUGUCCUGAUGUCACCUUGGUACGGUAAGAUACUCAUGAAUGUCAAAAGCAAGUAAAUGUAAUGUUGCUCAGUAAUAAUUAGCCGGUCAGAGGAUGCUGGAUACCAAACAACAACAACAACAAACCCAGUGUAUUCCCACCUAGUGGGGUCUGGGGGGGUAAGAUGUACGCAGUCCAUACCUCUACCUCUGAUGAAGUAGAAAGGCUGUUUCCGAAAGACCACCGGCUCAAGGCACGAGAUACCACACAAACACAUAGUAAAGCACAGAAGCAGAUUACAUAACAUAAAUACGGCACUCAUAAGUAUUAUAAAACAGAGGAAAGCAGAGGAAAGCACACAGAUUCGUAAUAAAACAUGGAACACAGAACACGGAAUCAUAACAGGAAUAAAACCCCCACCAAGUAAUUCCCUAACCAAUUACCUCCCUACAUUAGCGACCCGAACAGGCCCUAAUCCUCUGCCGUAAUUCGCGUCUUCCAGACCUUCCUAUCUAGGGUCAUGUCCUCGGUGAGCUGUAACUGUACCAUGUCCCGCCUAAUCACCUCACCCCAGUACUUCUUCGGCCUACCCCUACCCCGCCUAAAACCAUCCAACGCUAGCCUCUCACACCUACGGACCGGGGCAUCCAUGCCCCUCCUCUUCACCUGUCCAAAAUAUCUCAAUCGUGCUUCCCGCAUCUUGCACUCCACUGAAGUCACACCAACCUUCUCCCGAAUAGUCUCAUUCCGAACUCUAUCCCCUCUAGUCAGUCCACACAUCCAGCGCAACAUCCGCAUUUCUGCCACCUUCAUUUUUUGGAUGUGGGAGUUCUUAACUGGCCAACACUCCGCUCCAUACAACAAGGCCGGACGGACUACCACCCUGUAGAAUUUGCCUUUAAGCUUGGACNNNNNNNNNNNNNNNNNNNNNNNNNNNNNNNNNNNNNNNNNNNNNNNNNNNNNNNNNNNNNNNNNNNNNNNNNNNNNNNNNNNNNNNNNNNNNNNNNNNNNNNNNNNNNNNNNNNNNNNNNNNNNNNNNNNNNNNNNNNNNNNNNNNNNNNNNNNNNNNNNNNNNNNNNNNNNNNNNNNNNNNNNNNNNNNNNNNNNNNNNNNNNNNNNNNNNNNNNNNNNNNNNNNNNNNNNNNNNNNNNNNNNNNNNNNNNNNNNNNNNNNNNNNNNNNNNNNNNNNNNNNNNNNNNNNNNNNNNNNNNNNNNNNNNNNNNNNNNNNNNNNNNNNNNNNNNNNNNNNNNNNNNNNNNNNNNNNNNNNNNNNNNNNNNNNNNNNNNNNNNNNNNNNNNNNNNNNNNNNNNNNNNNNNNNNNNNNNNNNNNNNNNNNNNNNNNNNNNNNNNNNNNNNNNNNNNNNNNNNNNNNNNNNNNNNNNNNNNNNNNNNNNNNNNNNNNNNNNNNNNNNNNNNNNNNNNNNNNNNNNNNNNNNNNNNNNNNNNNNNNNNNNNNNNNNNNNNNNNNNNNNNNNNNNNNNNNNNNNNNNNNNNNNNNNNNNNNNNNNNNNNNNNNNNNNNNNNNNNNNNNNNNNNNNNNNNNNNNNNNNNNNNNNNNNNNNNNNNNNNNNNNNNNNNNNNNNNNNNNNNNNNNNNNNNNNNNNNNNNNNNNNNNNNNNNNNNNNNNNNNNNNNNNNNNNNNNNNNNNNNNNNNNNNNNNNNNNNNNNNNNNNNNNNNNNNNNNNNNNNNNNNNNNNNNNNNNNNNNNNNNNNNNNNNNNNNNNNNNNNNNNNNNNNNNNNNNNNNNNNNNNNNNNNNNNNNNNNNNNNNNNNNNNNNNNNNNNNNNNNNNNNNNNNNNNNNNNNNNNNNNNNNNNNNNNNNNNNNNNNNNNNNNNNNNNNNNNNNNNNNNNNNNNNNNNNNNNNNNNNNNNNNNNNNNNNNNNNNNNNNNNNNNNNNNNNNNNNNNNNNNNNNNNNNNNNNNNNNNNNNNNNNNNNNNNNNNNNNNNNNNNNNNNNNNNNNNNNNNNNNNNNNNNNNNNNNNNNNNNNNNNNNNNNNNNNNNNNNNNNNNNNNNNNNNNNNNNNNNNNNNNNNNNNNNNNNNNNNNNNNNNNNNNNNNNNNNNNNNNNNNNNNNNNNNNNNNNNNNNNNNNNNNNNNNNNNNNNNNNNNNNNNNNNNNNNNNNNNNNNNNNNNNNNNNNNNNNNNNNNNNNNNNNNNNNNNNNNNNNNNNNNNNNNNNNNNNNNNNNNNNNNNNNNNNNNNNNNNNNNNNNNNNNNNNNNNNNNNNNNNNNNNNNNNNNNNNNNNNNNNNNNNNNNNNNNNNNNNNNNNNNNNNNNNNNNNNNNNNNNNNNNNNNNNNNNNNNNNNNNNNNNNNNNNNNNNNNNNNNNNNNNNNNNNNNNNNNNNNNNNNNNNNNNNNNNNNNNNNNNNNNNNNNNNNNNNNNNNNNNNNNNNNNNNNNNNNNNNNNNNNNNNNNNNNNNNNNNNNNNNNNNNNNNNNNNNNNNNNNNNNNNNNNNNNNNNNNNNNNNNNNNNNNNNNNNNNNNNNNNNNNNNNNNNNNNNNNNNNNNNNNNNNNNNNNNNNNNNNNNNNNNNNNNNNNNNNNNNAAAUCCAUAACCAAGAGCUUAUGCUGGGUCGAAAGAUUCUCACUCGGGAUGACCUUACAGUCCUUACACCACGCCCUAUCCCCUUUCCUAAGCAACAAAAAGUCAAUCUGAGUCCUGGCUAUCGCGCUUCGAAAGGUGAUCAGGUGCUCGUCCUUCUUCGGGAAGCCCGAGUUCACCACCACCAGCCCAAAGGCCCUCACAAACUCCAAUAGGGUCGCCCCCUCUUCAUUUCUCUCCCCAAAACCAAAAACACCAUGCACAUCACCAAAGCCUCCCGGUAGCGCCCCGAUGUGCCCGUUGAAAUCCCCUGCUACAACAAUCUUCUCCGAACUAGGCACGCCUCUCACCACCUCUUCCAAAGCCUCCCAAAACCGCAUCUUCUCCUCCCCCUCCGAUCCCACUUGCGGCGCAUAAGCACUACACACGUUCAGGGUAAACCCCCGAAUGACCAACUUAAUAGUCAUCAACCUAUCGUUGAUCCUCUUCACCUCCACUACCUGACCUCUAAGCUCUUCAUCUAAGCUCCAAAACGUGCAAAUUUCUGUAUUUGGUGAUCUUUGGAUUAUCCUUUGCAUCUCUUUUGCUUUCCUAUCUUCUUAUCCUUCACUCUUUUAGAAUUUUCUAGGGAGGUGGGAGGGCUGUUUGAAGAAUUAGUGAAUAGGUACUACUUUUGGUAUGAAAUAUAAAGCAUUAGAAAAUAGGGUGUUAAACUUAUUGUGCUCCUACAUGUGCCUAUCAUUUUCAUGCUGUGGUGGUUUCAUAUUUAGUUCUCCUGUAUAAUGACAGUGGUAUGCUGAACGGUGAUACUGUUUACUUUUCCUGCUGUGGUUCUUGAAGUUUAUAUUUUCUUCAUGUCCCACAUUACUAAUAUACAAGCACUAUUCCUACAGAUAUCAAGAAUUUAGCUAUUAAAGCCUGUUGGUUUGGAAGGUUUAAACAUGCCUUCUCUUCAGCUUCUGCAGUUGACUGAACAUGGGCGGGGCCUUCUGGCUUCUAAAAGGUAUAUAAUAUUUUCUCCAUUUUGUGCUGCUAGUUCAUAUCUUUUUUCUUGUGUCAUUGCAUGUCUAGUUUUGAAAUACCAAAAAUAAUAGCCAAAAGAAAAGAAUGUUGCCAAAAUUUUCUGACACUAGGGCUUUGUCCAUCUCUUUUCUUUUGAUAAUAAGUAAUGAAACCUUACUUUCCCAAAUCAACAACAACAACAUCAUACCCAGUGUAGUCCCACAAAAUGGGGUUUGGCAGAAGCAUAUUCAGCUAUGAUUCAAGUCCUCUUACUUUCAUAUCAGAAGUUUCUGCUUAUUAACUGAUUUUUACAUGCGUUUAUUUUUAACAUCUUCAGCUAUGAUCAUCCAUUUCCUCUAAGUUGCUUGCUUAAAGAUUUAACUUGUUAUUUGUUUGUAUUAUCAAUGAUGUACAUUUCUUAGAAUUAACUCUUGUUUUAUUUUAAAUCCAGAUGAGCAUUCAGUAAACACUAUCAGUCAACUGAAUGACUUGUGCAUUAAACCAUUCGUUAUUUUCAUUUAUUAUAUUAGCAUUUAUACUUUUUCUGAUCCAAUUUAGGUUUUUUCGAAUCUACAGUCUUAAACUUGACACAACUCUUAAAGUUGAUACUUCCUCCAUCCACUUUUACAUGUCUACUAUUCCUAAUUAAAUUUUCACUUUUAUGUAACUUUUAACAAAUCAAGCAGGAUCAACAAGCAUAACAAGCUUUUAGCUUUUACACUGAAGCCUCAACAACCCGAUGCAUAAUUUUGUAAACUUUGCCUGGAAACUAGCAUACAAAAGCAAUAUUGAAGCAAUCCAGCAAAGAACCAACAGGAACCAAAGGAAGCUUGUAAAACCUUCUCAAUGAAUGCAUACUAAUAAUAGGGGUUCUCCAGAGUUUUAAAUACACUACAACAUACCCAAUAUAUUCCCACAAAGUGGGGGACUGGGGAGCGUAAAGUGUACGCAGUUUGUACCACUACCUCCGAGGUGAGGUAGAGAGGCUCUUUUGGAAAGAUCCCCGGCUCAAGACAAAAAUAUUCUAGAGGACAUAAUAUAAGAACAAGGAACAGUAGGUAGAAAUAAACAACAGAUAAUAAAAAAUAAGCCUACCACAAAAUAGUACCGCACUCGACCUCUCUGAAACAACAUACAUCUCUAAAACUCCAAAAUCAAGACCCUACAAGCAAAGCGCUAUGACAACUAACAUAGAUAACAAGACAAAGCACACCUAUCUACUAGCACAGAUGCACUCCUACCUACUACCCAACACAUGUACUUAAGAUAUUCCCCAUGUAAAGAACAUAUGAAGGAGUUACUGAAGUAAGAAUCAAGAAGAGAUGUUCCGAACAAAUUGACUCAAUCGCCUCAGACAUAUUGCUAUUUUCACAAAAUACUUAACAUUGUCACAACCCAACGGCUGGUUAAGUGUAUAUAAAUUCCUUCUAUAGUUUUGGACAAUCUUCAUAACUUGAAUUAGCUUUUGUGGUUGAUUCGGGCGCAACAUUCAUUUUCUCAACAUGAUGGUAUCAAAGUCUGGCAUAUCCUUGAUGUUGGAUACCCAAUGUUGGGUCCUAUGUUAUAUUAGUCCACUUUCUAGAUAUUCAGUCUUGAGUGUGCAGUUUAGGGGAGUUAGAUACAUGGGCCUAUAUGGGUUGUAUCCUCUUGAAAGGUCUUGGACAAUUCUCAUUACUUGAGCUAAAUUUUUAAAUUUAGCUAGACCCAGUGUCAGCUAUCUCAAGAAAUUUAUUUCCAAAUAUUUAACCUACUGUGUCUUCCGUCUCAAAAUAUUUUGACCUAUUUCGCUACAUGAAUUAUUUUUCCUCUAACCAUAAUAACUAAAAGUAUUAUAGACCAAUACUGACUAAUAUAAACUAAUCUUUCAGAGCUAUCUAUAAAUUAAUACAUAUUUUAUAUCUGAGAAAUCCUCGAGGGCCAGUGGUGCACAAACAAGGACUCGGUGAAUAAUGCCCCCUCUACCCUCCCCACUUAUAUACCAUGUUUUUGUCUAACGCAAGGUCCAACUAGUGUCAUGCGCCUAAUCCAUACAUCAUGUGAUGCGUUCUUACUGCUAGACCAAAGCUCUAGAUCAAAAGUUAAUAUAUAUAAUUUAUACAAUUUCAAACUUGAAAUAACACUGUUUCAAUGAACUGCUUCACCUUUUCACAUUUUAAACUAUUGCUUUCUAUGUUCAGAUUACACUAGACCUAAUUUAACCCAAGGUUGUUAAAAGUAAAAAUAUGAAGAAGCAUAAUGUUGGGUAGGUUUGGAAAGUGUUAGAAUUAGGUUUGAAAUGUGAAAAAGCAGAACGGGUAGUUAGUGAUAUAUCAAAUAAAGCGUGGAAGAAUAUAACAUUCAAUAGCUUAUGAGUCUUUGAACUGUUAUAUGCAAAAAUUAUUUCCAACUAAGAAAAUCGAGUCUUUUGUGAUGACCAAAAGACAAUUUUUAUUUUUAUUUUUGUAUGUUUUACCUUUAACACUGGUAAUUUGUUCUCCAAAAGACCUAAUAGAAGUAUCAGAAAGAUGUGAAUCCAUUAUUAUGAAAUAUAGAAUAGGAGAAGUAUCAAAAAUUAUAAUAAAUUACAUGUACAUUAUUUUACAACCUAACCGUAAACUAAUUAAGUACUAAAUUCUACAAGUAUUAAGACCUUCUUCAACAUGCUGUUGGAGUUGACAAGGGUUCUGCUAACCUUAAAAACUUCUACGCAGAAAAACAUAGAAACUUCUACACAUGAAAGCAAAUGUAUGGUAGAAUAAACGUAAAAAAAUUUCUAUGCAGAAAAAUAAAAUGAAAGCAAGCAGAUUUAUAAUGACAUGUACUUAAGAGCGGAAUACAAAUACAAACUUACAACUUUGAACAAUGGUAGAAUAGUAAGAUUAAAAAAAUGGUUAUGGACAAAAAGAAGUACCUUUCACGUCGAAACAAUGGAAAAAACACGAGCAAAAAGAAAACAUAUAAAAAUCAGUAAAAAACAUAGGAGAUAGAAGAACGAAGAAAAAAGGGAGCAAAACCAUCAAACCUAGAAGAAGAGAAAAAAACAUAGAAAACGUAGGGUAGGAUAUUUGGGUGGAGUAGAUAAUAUUGCGCAAGGGCAAAAUAGAAUUAUGUAAUAUUAAGUAAAGGCAUGAUUGGAAAGAGAAACUAGAUAACAAUGGGAUUAUGCCAAAUCAUUUGUUACAUAAAAUAGGACUUUUCGUUGUUACCUAACCACAAAAUCAAACCACGAUGCAAUAUGUUUUAAGUAACAAUCAAAACAAACAUGGUAUUGUUAGUAAUGAUAGCAUACAAUACCAUGGAUAACAACUAUCCAAACAAGACAUUAUAGUUGCUGCAAUGUUGAAGGUCACACUUAUUCUUGUACAAUAAUCGUACUCCAUCUCUAUUCUUUGGACAUUUUUGUCGGCUUUUAAAAGCCAUAUUAAACCCUGCCUGGGCUUUUUCAAAAUUCCACCGAGAUCUCGUUUGACCUGAUUGCUCUUCCUUUGCUCAUCUUACGAAUAACCCCCUCAACCUUUUCAACCUUUAUACGCCUACAACACCCAAAAUUGCGACUCUGAGUUCUCUAAAUCCUCAACACAAUGUCCUUGUCUCCUUCAUUCAAGAGUUUAUGGAAGUAUGACUGCCAUCUCUAUCUAAUGAGUGCCUCCUCCAUUGGUACCUUGUCGUCUUUGUCCUUGGUGCACUUCAUCCAAAUUGCUGACCCCUGUUUCUCUCGCCUUGGCUAGCUUGUACAAUUUUUUAUCCUUGCCCUUAGGGGCGGAGCUACUAUGUUACGUGGGGUUUCGGACAAACCCAACAACUUCUACGCAGGCCUUGUACUUGCAUUAAGAAUUUUAGUAAAUAUAUAUAAUUAUGAUGUCUCUCUACCUCGCCUGUGAGGUGUUGGUAUGGACUGCAUACAUCUACCCUCCCUAGACCCAACUUUGUGUGAUUAUACUGGGUGUGUUGUUGAUGUAUAUAUAAUUAUGAUAGCGCGAAUCCACUAGCAAUAACAACUAGAUGCUUCAGUAGUAGAGUAGACCUUGGAAAGGUUUCGUGUCAUCAAUUGCGGGUUUGAAACCCACAGCCAACAGUUCAAUUUUUUCUAUUUUGCAGCUUUCUUUUUAAAACCUUCACGGUUUCUUUUUUCUCCAUGUGCGUUUUUGGGAAAUAUAUGUAAAUUUAUUUUAAAAAGUUAUUUUUAAAAAUAAAACAUAAAACUAAUAGUUAGAAAAAGAAAAAAGCAUAUAUAUAUAUGUNNNNNNNNNNNNUUCUAAAUUAAUAUUAUAAUAAUAAUCAUAACAAUUAAUGUGACAUCUUUUGAAUUUUGAAAUUUAAAUAAAUUUAUUUUUAAAGUAAUUUUUGCAUAUAUUCUUAAAAUAUUUUAAAUUAUCAAUAAUUAUGAUUUAUUAUUGAAAUUUAUAAUUUUAUUUCAAAAAUUUAAUUCACGAUCAAAAUUAAACUCUACAAAUGUAUAAAUUAAUAUAGAGUGUGAAAAAAAUUUCGAUGGGUCUAUAUUACUGUUUUUCAAAUAACAUGAGCUCAAUAUAUGUUAUUUUUUUAUCUCAAUUUAUGCGACACAAAUAGAAUUUAGAUAAUUAAUCAUACUUUUAAUACGUGUUUAGAUAUUUUAAGCUGUUAACUAUUGUAAUUCAUAAUAUUUAUUUUAGUUUUCAAAUAAUAUAUGUUACUCUCCUUGUCCAAAUUUUUGUGGUGUUGAUAGUCAAUUAUAUUUUAAAAAUAAUUUAAUUUUUUAAUUAUUGUGAUUUGUAAUGCUUUUUUUCUAUUCCAAUUUAAGUGGCACUGAUAUAAUUUCGAGAGUCAAUCAAAUAUUUUUCAUCUUUUAAAUUUUUUAAGUUGUUAUUUAUUGUGAUUUAUAAUAUUUUUUUAUGUAUUUUUUUGAAAUAUAUAACAAAUUAUUUUUUUUUAGAUAUUUUAAGUUGUUAACUAUUGUAAUUUAUUAUACCUUUUAUGUAAUUUUCGAAUAAUAUAUAUUACUCUCCUUGUAAAAAAUGUUGUGGAAUUGAUAGUCAAUUACAUUUUUUAAUUAAUCUAAGAUCUUAAUUAUUGUGAUUUAUAAAACUUUUGUUUAUAUUCCAAUUUAAGUGGCAUAAUGCUUAGACCAUAAUAAUUAAUUAGAAGUGUUAUAGUAAAAUUACGAUUGAAGCAGCGAAGCAAACAUGUCUUAAAUGACUCACAACAACUAAUUAGAAGUGAUAUAACAAAAUUAUUAUAAAAAUACUUGUAAAAAAAUUAAGUGGGUCUCAUAUAAGACGUGAAGUUAAUUUAAAACAUCGAGAGUUAACUUAUCAUUUAUAUCUAUUUUACCUUUUUUUAUAAAAUAUAUAUAUUUUUUAAUAUUUAGAUGAAUUAUAAUAAUUAAUUCGAGUGGUAUUUAGUAAAAUUAUGAUUGAAGCAACUGAAGCAGACAUGUCAUAAAUGUCUAUUUUAUUUUUUAAUUAAAUAUUAUUAAUUUUGUUAAUAUGUAAAUAACUUAUAAUAAUUAAUUAGGGGUGAUAUAGUAAAAUUACGAAGCAAGCAGCUGAAGCAGGCAUGUCGACGGAGAGAAGCCUGCAUCAGCUGCCCAACUCGCUCUUAUAUAAUCAGAGAAUAUAUAUAUAUAUAAUGUUUGAAGUGUUUGUUGCCUUUUAAAAUAUAUUUUGAGUUUUGUACACAUUCAUUAGUUUGGUGGAUAUUAUAUAUUAAUUUGAGGUUGUUGCCCUGUCGUAAAACUCGGAACCCAAAUCCUUAAAUCCUGGCUCUGCCUCUACCUGCCCUUGUUCUCUAAUUUAGCAUAUAGGUUUUCAUUAGCUGCUGUUGUCUUUGCCAUCGCAACCGCUAACUUUGCCUUGUUAAACUUUUUCGCAUUCAUCUUCUUUUCUCUACCUUCCCUUCCCUUAGACUUCUCUGUUCCACCACCAGUCUCCUCGAUGCCAACCUAAACUACCUCUCGAGACCCUAUGACCACUCUGCUUUCGUAAUGCAACUAGAAGUCCUAUCACACAUGCUAAUUCACAUCACUACUACUCCUCAAGCCCCACAACCAUCAAUGUCUCCCCCAUCUCAUGUGCAUUGGCCAUAGUCAAGCAACCACAUUUGAUCCUUGUGCGGUUUCCCAUCUCAUGAGCACUGGCCAUAGCCAAGCAACCCCAUUUGAUCCUUGUGCGGUCAUACUCUUUUCUUCCUCUUCCUCUUGAUCUCCAAAUUCAUUACGAGUUUAUGUUGGUCUUAAGUUUCACUUGGGAUAACCUUGCAAUCUUGACAAAAACCUUUUUCAUCCUUCCUAAGCAAAAAAUAGUCUAUCUGAGUGUUAGCCAGCAUAGUACGGAAGUUACCAAGUGCUCCUCCUUACGGGAAAACAGAAAGGGUGAGAAUGUACACUUUUUUGUGCUUGAAACCAUACCUCUGAACUUCACUUAACGUUCUAUGCAACAUCGUGUUUAUAUAUUCUUGCACGCAUCAAUAUCUUCCAGCAGUGUUUUGAAAACUGUGGCAGAAAUGCGGAUGUUGCGCUGGAUGUGUGGACUAACUCGAGGGGAUAGAGUUCGGAAUGAGACUAUCCGGGAGAAGGUUGGUGUGACUUCAGUGGAGGGUAAGAUGCGGGAAGCACGAUUGAGAUGGUUCGGACACGUGAAGAGGAGGGGCAUGGAUGCCCCGGUCCGUAGGUGUGAGAGGCUAGCGUUGGAUGGUUUUAGACGGGGAAGGGGUAGACCGAAGAAGUACUGGGGUGAGGUGAUUAGGCGGGACAUGGAACAGUUACAGCUCACCGAGGACAUGACCCUAGAUAGGAAGGUCUGGAAGACGCGAAUUACGGCAGAGGAUUAGGGCC